CUGCCUCGUAACUGCUUCUUCUGCAACGGAACAUGUUACUGCUUAAAGCAACAAAGAACGGCUAAAGCUCAUCGCAAGAUCGGAAAGAACACCAGCCCGCACAGACAACAACGACACGACUCCAAAUACAGGUAAAAAGGGGAUAGCAAUUAACUACUAACCCAUCCGCUAUACUAUAUAAAACCUAAGCUGAUAGGAAAGGGUUGUGGCCACCAGGCGAGAAGGACACCAAAAUGUGUCUAUAGUCUAUACCAGUGUCGGUAAUAGUGAGGUUUCUUUUUCCUUAGCCAAAGACGAAUAAGGCCAGUAGCCAGCCUUUUUAAAAACCAGAAGGGAAGAAAGAGCCAAUUGAAAAGGCUUUAAAGAAGAGAUGAAAGAAUUGUUACAAACAAAGCAAAGGGCUUGAAGGACGCCCUCUCAUACUUUCUCAACCGAUGAAGCGAGCUAGGUCUCCUCCUUUUCAGGGAGAGCUAAUGCUUGUUGGGUAUUUUGGUUUGACACUGCUUCAUACCCCCCACGUGGAUUGGCCAGGGUCUUCUUCGGCUAAUGAGACCUCGAUCCCGAAGCCUUCGAAGUAUUUUUUUGAUAGGUGCCUCUUUUUGUAUGGGGAAUUCGCUGCUAAUAGAUCUCGCCCAGUGUCCCCCUCCUUCCCUCGGCCACCUUUCUUCGAGAAACGUCAGCAUGCUCUUUGAAACUGGUGCUCUAGAAGCUUUAGACCGCACUUGAGCAGGUUAAUCUUAAGUGUUGGAAGCUACUGCUAAGGGAAUCCCCCUCAUCUAGAAAGGAUAGGCAAUUGAGAGAGAAUAGGGUUAUAGCGAUAGACACAGGAACUGAAAGAGAUUUUGACGAUUACUUCCGUAGAGGAGAGGGGAAAGCUGCUUAGAUAGGGCGAUAGCUCGGUUUUGAUUGUUUAUCCUUUCCUACGCUUGUCUUGUAUUGAGGUAUACUAAAGAAAUGAGUAAAAGUCGGUAACAGAAGGGGAGGUAUUGCUGUUUUUUAUUAGUAAGGACAAGCCGCUUUCAUUUUCAACAAUCUAAUGGUAGGGCGAGUAGGCGGUUCGUAUCUUUCUAUGACCCCCAGAAUAAGAAGUUGGAGGAUAGGCAGAGCAAGACCUCUUGAAGUCUACCCGGGCACGCUUCUUCAUUCAUCUUUUUGGUUAGAUAAUGGAAGACGAUAAGCCACCGCCCAGUAGUGCUCUCGGAGCUUGAUUGCUCCGAGCCGGUAACGUGUAGGUCACAAUCUAAAUUUCUAACUGAAAAGCAGAAAGUAAUAAGUUCAACGGGUAAGAGAAUGCAUUUAACCGAUUGAAAGCGUGAUAAGUGUCACUAACGGUAUAGCGAAUAGGGCGUUUAACUGUAACUCACCGGUAGGACAGAUAACGUUUGUGGUUUGAGUUCGCUUAUCCGACCUAUAUUUAUUUCCAACUAAAGGUAAAGGCAUUUUUCGCUUCACCGGAAUCCGAUGUCAAUUGGUUACCGGUUGGAUUCUAUCCCUCCCCUACGUUUUCUUUUGCCCUCUACCCCCAAAAAGCGAAAGGAGAGGGAACAACCAUAAUGAUACACCCUAAAACUAUACGGAGCCCUUCAGAAUGACCUAGAAUAUAGUCUACUAGACUAGACAAGAAAGAGUGACGUAGACUAUAUUCGCCCGUAGAGGUGAGAGGAGAAAGCUGUGAAGAUUCUAACUCUAACUACCACCUCGGGACUAUAUUAGUAUAAAGCGACAUUAUCCCUUUACUAAAUCCUCCCUCGCUUAUCACCAUGAACAAGACCUUUCCCAAUCAAAGCAAGGGCGUAGCAGCUUUCACCAGGGAAACUUCCUAUUAGGAAUGGCUUCCUUUCAGGUUGUGUUGUUACAGACCAGACUGUUCUAACAGGGCAGGGGAGACGGAUAACUAAUAUAAUACAGUAUAGCUAUGAUCGGGAAAUAGCGCAGAUAAGAUCCGACUGAAUGUGUGAACCAUCUGACUGUAUUUUCCAACUGAAAUGGAAUAUUACUACCGAAAUUGAAUUGUACAUCCAGAAUAGUCCUAAGAAGACAUGAUCCCAGGCCGGUACUUGACAUGUACCCCCUCUUCCAGGUCCAUCACAAGGAAAACGAAAACCAAGAUUUGCCUUAUCCGGUAUCAAACAAGAACUGCGAGCAAAUAGAACACCUUUCAAGAGUAUCAAUACCGUCACAUGAAUCGAAAAUGCAUGAAUGUGAUAGGGAGAAUCAUGCAUGGGAGUUGUGCGGGAAUAAAUCUCAGCCAAAGUUUGCCAGUCCUCUUGGGCGGCCGAGAGUGUUAUGUAAAAAGGACCAAGGAGGAUGCCUGCUACUUCAUCUGGGAGAAAAGAAUCAUAGCUCCCGGUAGCAAAAGGGAGUAGCAAAGGGGACAAAGGACUCGUAGUACCUACUAGCGUGGCUACGCAGUGGAAGGGAAGGAGCCUAAAUUAACCCCCUUCUUUUUAACAUAAUUUUUGAAUUGGAUCAAUACUUCCAGGGCGGACCCCAACCGAAAGGCACUAGACGGAGGUUUCAGGUUCAUACUCUGCUCCCUAAUCCGCUUUCUCCUUUGACGCUAUGAAGUCGCUUUCUUCUUUGACGUGAAUCGUGAAUACGGGAGCUGCUACUGAGUACUGAGUGAAUGGGCAAAAGGAGAUUGGGGAUCUAUCGAGUGGAAAACCAGGAAGACUAUCGAUACACCGAAGAGCUACCAAACACGGGAACUCAGGAAGGCAAAGGGGGAGAUUUUCCUUUAUCCACCCGAAAUAGAGCUAUCGAUGAAAGGAUCCAGAUUUCACACUAUGCUGUGGGCUGGGGAAAGAGCUGCCAUAUCUUGAUGUAGAAAGGAGCUCUCUUCACAUCCAUCUGGUGAAGCUUUAAGUAAAAGUGAAUUGAAAAACUACAUGAGGGGAUUUACAUGCCACCUUCUCCAGGGUGAUACCGAUGUAUUUUGAUAUCCCACAGGUUCGACGAAAUGAGAGCGUCAGCUGAAGGGUGCGAAGCUCGCGCUACGCUCUAGUAGAAGCAAAAGCGGAAGCAAUCCAAAAGGUUUUAGCCAACUGAGACCGUAGAUUUGGGUACGACAACAUUACUUGAUUGUCUGAAAAGGCAAAGAUACUCAAAAGUGGUAUGCGCACAUAAAAAGCGGUUGCAGAUGCCCAUGCUUUGAUUCGAAAGCUCGACCUGCGUGGGACUGAUCUGGACUGAUAACCCGAACCCUUAAUGCUUAAGUAAGACUUCCACCACGUCAAGGUGACACUCUACCACUGAGUUAUAUCCCUUCCCCACCCCAUCGAGAAAUAGAACUGACUAAUCCUAAGUCAAAGAAAAUAUGACAUAGAGCCAUACCGGCCAACCCCUCUCUCCAUUUUGAAAACUGGACAUCAAAAUGCCAUGCGCUCACGGCCCCUUCUUCACGUUGAAGUAAAUUGUGGCAGCAGCCCGAGGUGGGAAUGAAUCCUUCUUGUGCGCUUUCAAAUCUUUCAUCAACUGUUGGGCUCUCUCGGGGAACUCGCCCUUGGGAUUCAGAAAUAUCUAUUUCUACUUUUCAGGCACUACCUGUCCACCAUUUCACUCAUCCUAUCCAUCCUUUCCAUGUAAUCCAUCUUUGAGUCGCAGCUGAAAGAACUACCUUUCACAUCCAAACUCGGGGUCCUACCCCUGUCUUUCGCCUUAUCGCCCUUACUCUCCUUCCCUUGCCAAUGGAUCAGAAUCUUUUCCAACAACAUCCAGGACUCUAUCAUCCCAACCCAUCUACGACUGAGGAAUCGAACAUCAAGAGAUAGAAUAAGAAAAGAGAUGCUCUAGUUAACUGAUAGAUAAGGCACCCGCAAGCAGGGACCGAAGAGAUAGAGAAAGGGAAGACAUGCCAAUCGACCUGAAUAGAUAGCCUGUGGGAGAAUCGGUGCACCCAACCUCAAGAUAAGAAGAAAAGGCCGCUUCGGAUGCCUUCCCUUUCGUUCGCCUCUUCCCAUAAGAAAUGACGUAAGUAGUAGUGCCCGAAAUUGGCAGAUAUCUCCCAUUAGACAGAUCAACGGUAGCGGACAUGGGAUAAACUAGCAGGAGAGCCAAUUUGACCGCGCAGACCAAAUGAGCGAAAUAUUUUUAAAGUGAAAGCGCUGUGCCAACUUGCGUACAAUAUUUAUAUGUGGAUUUGAUACUAUAGUCAAAUCCUCUUCAUAAGUCCUUUCUUAUAGGCUAUUUAAGGUCUACAGCUUUCCCCUCUCCUCUACGGAAGUAAUCAUCAAAAUCUAUUUCAGUUCCUGUGUCUGUUGCUAUCGCCCACGCAGGUUUGGAACCCUAUACAAGGGGCUAGCUAUACCUGAAUCAGUUUGACUCAAUACUUGCACUUGGAUCUUUCUCCCCAGCUUCUUUCUACGAUUCUAGUCAAGUCCUGCUAGUAUGCCUCGAGAGCCUGAGCUACUAUUUUCUUUUCCUUACCCAUAUAUCACAGUUAGUACCCUGAAAGCCAUUGCCUUUCAAGUAGAGCAUCUUUUCAAGUCAGUAUUAUCCCGCUGAUUCUAUGCCAUCAAAGCAUGCUAACAACAGGCCAAAAUAUGAGACCCGAAGGGCCCGGCAUGCACAAUCCUAUCCUAUUCGAGUCCGAGUUUACCCCUUGCACUUCUCGGGCCUCUAGUGAGUUACAGACAGAGUUCGAAAGGGUCAAAUCUUUAAUGAUUCCAUCAUCUAUGAUUGAUUUAUGAAAACUUCUGGAUAGGUAUCCAACAUCUGAACCGAAUUCUUUCUGGUUAAAGAAUCUCUUUCUAGUUGCUCUAGAACAAUUAGGAGAUUCUCUAAAAGAAAUAUGGGGUUCUGCUUCUGGCGGCAACAUGCUUGGUCCCGCUUAUGGGGUCAAAUCAAUACGUUCUAAGAAGAAAGAUUGGAAUAUCAAUCUUAUCAAGAUCAUCGAUCUCAUACCAAAUCCCAUCAAUCGAAUCACUUUUUCGAGAAAUAUAAGAUGACCAUAUCUGCUUUUGCGCCAUGACAAUCUCACUCGAAUUACGGGAACCUACACAUAUUAGUAUAGUAUAUCGGGGUCCUCGGCCAGAACCACACGUGCAAGUUUCCCUGCAUGUGGCUCGUCUGUGCUUUUCGAGGCGCUGCUUGUGACUCAGCAUGGGAGAAGAGGGCGGAACUGCACACUUUCGUGUUCAGAGUAUUGUCCGAGUGAGUAGGCAGCUCCAUUGGGAAGUGAAGAGUGGAGAGCCCACUUGAUCUUUUUGUGGUUUUGCCGAAGUUAUUGCUUUUUUAGUCAUUUCAGUAUGUUGAUAGAGAGCUCUGGGAAAGCAAAGAAUGGAAUGUCUGUUCUGUAACAAAGAAGAAGGUUGCUUGAUUAGGCUGAGCUUCGGUCCAGCUUGUUGUUACAUGAGUCUUGGCUUCAGCAGAUGGAUCCUAUUACUAUGUUGAUGAUCUUGUAUACUAACCGAGUCCGCACUCACUCGAGAACACGUAUGUCCUCCCUGUAAUUGUCUUGUCUUUGUUAUGGUUUUAGGGCCUACAUCUACCCGUAUGGAGACACCAUCAUUCGCAAGGCUUGCUUUACAUUGGACCCAAUGUUGAGCCUCUCAUAGCCCAUAUUUCUGCUGACGAAGGAUAAGAGUGCGCCCCUGCGGAUACACUUCCAUACCAAGAAAGUCAUGGAGAAGGCCCGACGUCUUUCAUAUUUUCAUGAGCAUGCAAGAACGAAAGAAGAGCAAGUAUUCCCUGUUGAUCACUACCUGUGAGAAAAAUAUCAUCGACAUAUAAAAGAAGGUAGAUACUAUCCCCAGAUGUGUGAUGAAUGAAUAAAGAGGUAUCACAGUGGGGCCUGUCUUCUGUCCGGUUCUUGGGUCCGGUUGAGCCUCUUUGAAAUUACAUCCCUGCCUCUCGUCUAACUCGAGUUGCCCCACUCCUUUGGCACCACUAAGAGGGAUUAGAUUACCAACCCCUCUUUCUAACUAGAACUUCAGAACAGCUACGCUUGUCGCCCGCUAAAGCAAUUAUUGCAGCUCUAGUUGAACCAAUUGUAACUGCUCCGGUGGAUCAGAGCUACUCGAAAACCAUGAUAGGUGCUUGAGAUCAGAACUGCUUACAGCAGCCUUGACCUGGUCCAAUGGAAAGGGAAAACUGAAAAAUUGAGCAUAAAAAAAAUCUAGAGAAUGGGCUAUUACGUGUAAACAAUGGAAAUUCAAUAAUAAGAGUCUGAUCUUCUUGCUUAAGAAUAUGUGAUUCCUACGGAGUGAAGUUGUUGGGGGGAAGAAAAGAUGAGGAAGCUAGUUUAAUUGAGGAAGCCACUUUCUUUAAUGUAUACUAGCUAGUCUACAAAAGCAUGAUGCAUGACGCUUCUCCUUUUUUUAGUCCACUCUCCCUUAGAAAACGGAGCUGCUUGAAAGCAGAUUUUGAAAUUACAUAGGUGAAUGUAGAGAUCACCGGUGUCCGAGUUUUAUCGGCCUUACGUAACUGCGAGCUUCCACUAAGGGGCCGUGGUCUAGGCUAAAUUAUUUUUAUUAGAAAGAAUGAAUGGAAAAAGGAUGCUUCUGUUAUGGUUUUUAUAGUUGCGAGAAUUUUUUUUUUCCCAUAUGCCGCUCCGCCAGCAAGGAGCGAAAGAACCAAGUUUUCUGUGGUGAUGUCAGAAUUUGCACCUAUUUGUAUCUAUUUAGUGAUCAGCCCACUAGUUUCUUUGAUCCCACUCGGUCUUCCUUUUCUAUUUUCUUCCAAUAGUUUGACCUAUCCAGAAAGAUUGUCGGCCUACGAAUGUGGUUUCGAUCCUUUCGGUGAUGCCAGAAGUCAUUUUGAUAUAAGAUUUUAUCUUGUUUCCAUUUUAUUUAUUAUUCUUGAUCCGAAAGUAACCUUUUUCUUUCCGACAAUGGAAGAAGUCUUGCACUGUGUGUUGUGUAUGUCUCAGGAGACGGUGGGUCCCAUUCCUUAUCCUAAUGAAGCAGCUGAAAAAAGGGAAUGUAGAGAAGAAUAUCCGUAUAAUAAAGCUUUCCCAACCGGCCAACGAUCCUUCCUGUGCGCUGAUCGUGGAUAAGACACUCAGAAGAAGAAAAAAUAACACGAAGAUGGUUAGCUGCAAGGUGACUGACAGAAAUUUCUUUUUAGCAGGAAAAUGGAAUCUAUCAUGAAGAAUCCGGGAUGAAGACAUAGAACCACAGUGUGAAAGAGGUAAGAGAGUGCCAUCUGCAAUGUUAACAGAAUCUUUGAUAGGUAAAGGAGGCAGACUGGACUUAAUGCUGGAAGCCGACUCUCGUUCUUUAACCUAUAACCGAAGAAAAAUGAGUUCGGAUCUUCUCUUUUUGAAGACUGGAAAGCGCCUUCUCUGUCUAAGGUCAGGCUUGCAACCUUACCACCUCGUAACUCGUUCUACCGUACUCCAGACCCCCGCACAUCAGAAGGGUGGACUGACCGCACUGGGUCGCUAAGAAAUAAGAAAUAUUUCAACGCGAUCUAAAAUGCUAGCUUGAAAAGGAAGUCCCUUACACUAGUCCAAUUCUUUUUUGGUUAUUAGCAAGCUAUGAAGAAUAUUUUCUCGAUCUUCACUUCAACUGGCCGGAUGUGGAUGGAACGUAUGCUAUGAGUGCUUUAGUUACGAUGUGGAUACCGGUUGUAUUCUAAGUUGAUUCAACAACAGCCUAAGUUUCCUUAUUUCAACAAAUUUCCUGAACUUAUAAUCUGAUGAUCGAGUCGAUUCCAUGAUUAUAAGUUCAUUCCAUACCGGACCAGGCCGGAAUAGGGUUAUAUACAUUCUCAUUAUGAGAAGGGGCCAUUCAGGCCUAUGUUAGGCAGCCGUAAUAUUUUGUUACGUUCUGCCGCUGUUACUCCAAAAUAAAAGGUUCCACACGAGCUCCCGUUCUGCGGCGUGGUGGCAGGACCGCUAGGGGAGUGGCUCCGGGUAUAGAUAGGGUGAAAUCUGCAGGGGUCAUGCAAAUACAAGCUUCACUCAUUUCCUCUUUCGGUUGGGGUUGGUUACUCUUCAUCUCUUGGUAAUUUCCUUAUCACGCAUAUCAUACAAUCUCAUAGGAAGUAGAAAGUAAGUCAAGUCCAAGGGGUUUACAUAUACUCAUAAUUGUUGUUAUAAUUAUUAUUAAUAAUUAUAAUUUAUAAUUUAGAAGGAUUUUUUGAUUGAAAAAAUCCAUACUGAUUAGUUAUAUAUCAAGUUGUAUUUUCUUAUGUCAUUAGGAAAACAAAAAUUGGAGAUUCAAAUCCAAGAAUUGUUCAUGCAUUCUAAGUCAAUAGUUAAUGGUUCCUAUUUUCAUAAAGUUGAAUUUUUGAUUUUGCGACUGAAAAUCCACAUUUGAUUUUUCAAUAGAUUUCAAUAGAAAGGUAAGAGAAAGUUUUGAACAUUAUGAAUUUUGAGAUAGACUCAAUCGAAAUUGAAAGGAUGAAUCAAACCCAAUCAAAAGGGUAGGAUUCACCAGCCGCUAGACAUAGCACAGAAGCCAACAGUAGUAUGAAUGGGACAGGAACUAUUCGACCUCUUUCAGGAAAGGGCCUUACACGCACAGGUCCGAUUACGCGUAUUCCUAAUCCUAAAUGGAAUGUAAUGAUGUAGGGAUCCAUAUGUAAACAUAGUAUCUAUUUAGAUAGGCCCAAAUGGCCCCUUCUCCUUUUUGGAAUGGAAAGAAGAAAGGAUGGUCGUAGAACACUGAUGUCGAAUUCACGAAAAAGAUCAUAUGUGAAAGAAUCAUCAGAUUAUGGGUUCCCAGAGUAGACGGAAUGGAGAAUGAAUGAAAUAGAAUAGUCUGGCAGAAUCGUAUGAUAGGGAAAGUGCGGAGCCUCCCACUUGUCUGGGUUACCGGGCUGGCUAACCUAACUAUGAAUUUCUAUCAAUGUCGGGAUAGACAGAGGUCUAGGAUAGUACGCUGUCGGAGUGAGACCGGGGUACAGUAACGAAGUUAGACCGAAAUGAACGACUCAAUUCCUCUAGAAGAAAGGAGAGAGAAAGAACAACAGUAUUUUAGUAAACACUUUUUUACCAAGGAUCUUGGAAAGCUUGGAUACUUGUUGGGUAUUGAAGUAGCAAGAUCAAAGGAGGGAAUAUCACUUUAUCAAAGGAAGUAUGUUACAGACUUUUUAGAGCAGACUGGAUUGUUGGGAGCAAUGUGGAUACUCCUAUGGAUCCGACUUUGAAAUUCAGUAAGGAUGAUGGCCAGCUCUUUGAAAAUCUAGAGAGGUAUAGACGUUUGGUUGGAAAGCUCAUCUAUCUGACUGUAACCCGACUAGAUCUAACCCUUGCUCUUGGACUGGUUAGUCAAUUCAUGCAGAAUCCAAGACAAGAUCACUGGGAGGCUUUUUGUCCUAUCUUGAGGUAUCUCAAGAAAACUCCAGGAAAAGGAUUGUUCUUUAGGGGAAAAGAUUCAAUUCUUUCACACGGAAGGAGACAACUCUCUCUUAUUGGCUUAGCCUUUCGAGUUGAAGGUAACUAUAGCUGUUCGGAACCCACAAACCAUCCCGACCGGGGGUCAGAAUUUCUUCGAAUAUGUUCUUGAAUUCAUUCGAGAUGUGAGUAAAACUCAAAUUAGAGAAGAAUAUGGGCCCUGGGUUCCUUUUAUUAGCACUAUGUUUUUAUUUAUUUUUGUUUCUAAUUGGUCCAGCUUGACAAGCAACCCUUCCUCUUGAUCUGAGGUGCGAAGAGAAAGAUUUCUUUUUUAUGACUUCCACUUAAUGAUCCUGGCCCAGAAAAGUGACCGACCAGGGCAGGGCCUGACCAGGUCAUCAUAAGAAAAUACUGAAAAAUCUUUCCAAAGUGAGAGAAGGAGGGAAGGCACGCUACAACUAACAUAACAGCCAGAAGAUCUAGCACCUCGGUCAGAGAGAAUGGGGCACGAGUUCUCUCUGAUUCAGAUUGUGAUCUACCGGUUACUGGCUUGGAGCAAUCAAGCUCAAAGAGCACUACUGGGUGGUGGCUUAUCAUCGUCUAUUAUCUAACCAAAAAGACAUGAAGUAAAAACGGUUCCAUUCCUUCUUAUUGUACUUCUGGGUCAACCCAACCCGAAUGGGAAGAAGAGGGUCAGCCAAACUGCGGUCCACAUUGUACGUUUGCAAUUGCAUACCUAUACAAGGGUUCAAGUUUUGAUCGAUAUUUGCAGAGUUGAUUAUCCCUCUCUGAAAUAGAAGGCUUAGAAGGGAGAUAAUGAAAUUAUGUGAUUGGGUCUUCGUCCGGGGCUUCCUCUUACCCUUUAAAAUCAAAAAAAGUGGUGAAGUCCAUCCUAAAGUUCCAAAUCUACAUCCAACACUAGAGGUUCCUGAUGAGAACAAAUUGUAAGGCUCCACUCGGCACCGUCGGAUCACUAAGGCCGACUUUCGUCCCUGCUCGACGGGUGGGUCUUGCAGUCAAGAUCCCUUCUGCCUUUGCACUCGAGGGCCAAUCUCCAUCCGGCCCGAGGAAACCUUUGCACGCCUCCGUUAUCUUUUGAGAGGCCUAUGCCGAACCAUAUUUACAGAGAAGCAAACUCUUCUGCAGAUUCUAUAGCCGGCUUCUCCCUUUCUGGUUUGCAUGUCUUUCAUUCUGAAUUGCCUCCUUUGACUCGUGCAUGCUUGCUCCGCAUGCUUCUUACCUUUUUGCUAGCUUCUUGAACUCGGAAUGAUAACACGAGCCCUAGAACAAGCAGUCUUAGCGAAAGAAGGUACGCGCACAUAAAAAGUGGUUGGACGGUGUCUUUCUCGAGAAGUUUCCAUAUAGGUUAUAAAGAGCUAUCUCAUAUCUAAUAGGAAUAAUCCAAUUCUUAUGUCUACUAUGGGAAACGGGGUCCCAAUACCAUCUUUUCGACGAAGUAGACAAAGGGUUCCCAUCAUGUUCGAUCUGAGAAGAGACAUGGAGAAGAAGAUGUCCUCCUCAAGGGGUCAACGCCCUCGCUCAGAACUAAAGGAUCCUCGCACAUCGGCACUCACUGCAUAAGCUCAUAGGGCAAGAUGAAGAUCCGAAAAAAGGUUAAAGAUAUCAUCAACUUCGCCUUGGCAUGCUUCCAUCAGCGCUGAAAAGAGAACUAAGGCAAGGCGGGAUCCACUGAAGAAGAUCCUUAUCCUUCUCCUUCUCUUUUUCAAGAGGGAUCCACUGGAGAAGAUCCUUAUCCUUCUCCUUCCCCGACCCCAACAGUUUGGAAGAUAUCUUGAGAAAAGGUUUUAGCACCGGUGUAUCCUAUAUGUACUUAAGUUUAUUCAAAGUAUCCCAAUGGUGUAACGUCGUUGACUUCUUGGGAAAAAGGAGGAAGAUGACUUUAAUCUCUUGUUUCGGAGAAAUAAGUGGCAGCUAUAGCUUCAUUGUUCAUCUUCCGCUCGCUACCGGAUUAGUGAACUUUACCAGAAACCAAUUCGAGGAAUUUCUGACACAAGUAUUCAAUUAGUUCGGACUUGUUUAGUAUUGAAUUGGAACCAAGACAAAAAAAGUUAUUCUUGCGAAGAAGCCCGUGCUUCUUUUCACACUUUCCAAGAAAUUCCAUAACCCCCAGGAAUAAAGGACACUCAAUCAAGAUCUCUUCUAAUUUCAUAACGGCACCCGAAGCUCAUUGGGCUUUCAGAGGCAUAACAGGGAAAAGCGGACCAGCUAAACUCACUGCAAAGAAAGCAGUCGCAGCCGGGGAUCUCCAUUCAAAGGGAUAGAAGUAAGAAAAUGUUGGAAGAGAUAGACCUCUUUCACUUAGUUGGAUUUCCUUAAGCAUAUAGAAACCUAGCGUUUUUUAUCUUUCUUCAGGAUUUGGCCUGAACUGUUCGGCAGAUUCCCACGCGUUACGCACCCGUUCGGGCUCUGGUGUAUAGAGAAGACCUCACCGUUUAAGAAGUAACCAUAGAAAUGAAGGAACCCACUAUUUAUUUUUUUAUUUCUUUUAUUUACUAUAUUUUUGAUACCUAGGAAAAUACAAUUUCUUAUUUCUUUCUUAUUUCGCAGUGAAAUACCUAAAAAAAAAAAAUCAUGGUCUGGAAGGUUAGAGUAGCGAAAGCCAUUGGAAUUUUUAUUUUAUACAUUGAAAAAAUCCGUUUUGUUAUUAAUAGACUAGGAAGGGGGAAAAUUUGAUUUCUAAUUGUAACUAAAUCUUCAAUUUCUUAUUUGUAAAGAAGAAAGUGAAGCAAAAUAGCUAGGCAUUGUAGAAAGGAUAGAACGUGCGCCUAAUCGCUUUCUCGGAUCGCUCCGGUAUGAUGGUUCCCCCGGGGGGGCCGCCAAUGCAACACGAUAGAAGAGUUCGCUCCGACGUGUAAGAUCCUCAAAUCAAAAUCAACCACGACUACCAUCUGCGGUCUAUUUUCGUUCUCUUCCCUGCCCCGGAAGGGGGAUCAAAAAAGGGUAGUUUGCUUCUCUCCUGGGCGGAUGGCUACUUAUGUAGUGGUCGGCCUUCCUACCAAAAUACCUUCUUAGUCGAAGAGCCCCUUUUAUACUACUAAGGACGCAGGAAGCAAAGAAACUUACGGGAAGGACAUUUUCUUCUCUGCCCACUCCUCUCCAAAGGCCAAGGGAGAGACUGCAUCCCUUUCCUUCGGUAGCUCUUUUGGUUUCCCAAGGAUAGCAGUAGCUGGAGCAAAGCCUACUUUCUCCUCUCCGCGAAUGAGAGAGAAAGUCAGAGGAAAAAACACGUUCUCUCUUUGCGAGAUCCAAAAGUGGAGAACGCAUAGCAUUCUAUGGGUACAUAGGAUCAAAUGUAAAGCAGCGCUCUCUAGGCAGAGUUUUAGGUCUGCUUCAAAGCUUCCAGGUUUACUUGUUUUAUUUAUGGUUAUAGAGAAUAACUCGGUCCCUUGCUUCCAUUAGUCAGGCGCAUGGAUCUCAUCUCUUUAGCUAGAAUUAUUCCUUUUGCAUAUAUAUCUCAUCGAUAAAAAAGAAAUGAUUUGACUUUCCCGUAGCUUUCUUCAAAACUAUUUCUUUUCUCUUUUUUUCUCACCUCAUAGUUUUGAAAUAAAUGUCUUUUUUCUUCUUGCUUCGCCUUCGCAUAGAAGAACGAAAGGAGAAAUCAAUGCUCUAACUCCGGCUCUCUCGCCUACUCUCAGAUGAAAUCACUGACUCAAACCCAUUGUCGAAUCCUACUCAGCGGAAUAUGGAGGUACUUAUGGCAAAACGGGCCAAUCUGGUCUUUCACAAUAAAGCGAUAGACGGAACUGCCAUGAAACGACUUAUUAGUAGAUUAAUAGAGCACUUUCGAAUGGCAUAUACAUCACAUAUCCUGGAUCAAGUAAAAACUCUGGGGUUCCAACAUCUGUCACGUCGUCCCAUCCUUCUAAUGAUAUAUUGCGAGAAGCUUUACGAAGCCAUUCGUGGUCUAUUUAUAUAUAGAUUAUCCUUUCUUACUGUGACUCGAGAAUUGAUAAAAGCACAUUCAGUUGGUUACAUGGUAUACCCUAUAAGGGGAUAUUUAUAUGAGAAAGGGGAGAGGACAAAAGCGUCAGUUGUUCACUGCCUAUGGAAUAUAGGGAGUGUGAUACAAAUGCACUUUUCCACCCAGUGCUCUUUUCCUUUGGCAUCUCUAUUUCAGUGAAUGAUUCGCCGUAACAACUAUUGAUAUUUGGCUUUUUGUUUGUUCUAUAAAAGAAUGAAAGUGGGGUAAGCCAACAAACUUUAAAAAACCAUGAAAACAACGUUUGGAUCAAUAUCUGUUCAUUCCAAGGAAGCCCUUGAAGUAGAGUUCUUACUGAUGAGUUUACUUCCUGAUACGGAACUACGUGGCAAGGGUAUUGGUGAGUCCAAAAGGCAUAACCAGAUCAAACGCCCCCGGUCAUUCCGAUAGCUUAAACUGAAAAUAAGAAAAGAUAUGACAAUCAAAAGAAGUCUAUACCUGUAGAUGAAAGAGGACAAAACUUCUACCCCGAGCACACACAAUGGAACCAUAGACAGUUAAGUAAAAUCCAGGAAAGAGAAAGAGGGUCUUAUGGAGGGAGGGGGGAGAGAAAAGGCUUGGGCCUACCUAUCCCGAUAGGACCCCAUAAAAGAAUGAGAGCUGUGGAGAGGUUCCAUAUUGCCGAGACAAAGGACAGCACUUCUGUAUGUGACCAAAUUUUCCUGUUAAAAAGAAGAUCUCUCUUCUUCUUCAUUCUCAAGAGAAAUGCUUCAACAAAACUGCCCUUCCAUAUAGAUCGUCGUGGCAUGAACGAAUUUCUUCGCUUCAAUUCCGCCCCCGCAAUGCAAGAGAUCCUAUUCUUUGGACCAGAUGAAAAGAAAGUGAACUGAAGUCGACUCGACUCUAGUGCUGUAAAUAAGAAGAAAUCUUCAUUCAGUGCCGGUAGAAAGUGGUGAGGGCUCAGGAAGUGAUGCAAACUCGACCAAAGGACAAGUCUGUUCUUGCUUCGUUUUCGGUUCCCGAUUCAAUCUUCACCUUUCCUAAUCAUGUUUUUAUAAUCAAUUUGAUCCCCCAAUUGAAUCGGGGGCAAACACCUACGAAAAUAUCGCUUGAAUUUAAGAAAAGGUCACUGGAAUAGCUCAUUGUGGAGGGAGCAGAACAUGGCAGGGGUAUUGGUAAGUCCAAAGGCAUAACCAGAUCAAACGCUCCCGGUACUUUUUCUUGUUCAAAGCUUAGCCGCACUGAUGAAGUUGAAUGCUCCUUUCGGAGAUUCGGUUCUUUCACUCCGUUUCAGAGUUUGGAAUCAUAGAAGGAAGCUUUCCAGUCUUCAAAUCUGACUUCCAACCUGAAUUAGAGGGGAGCUCCAAUUUGAAGCGUAGGCUACUAAGGAAGGCCCCUUUCCUUUUGCAUUGUCUCAUCUCGUGCAGAAGGAGGUUGAAUAGUCUAAGAAGAUGGCAAAACUCAUUGGGCCUGCCGCUUUCUCAAUUGAAAAUGGAAACUUUGAAUAUCACUGAAUAAUUCUCUCACUUACGUCAUUUCUUAUCGUCAGUCAAUCUUCAUCAAGAUAGCUGACCGAGUCGAAACCUACUGCUCAAGUCUUUCGAACCCAUCCACAAAUAGCUAGAAAAUAUUUUAUUAUUUACGACUUUGCUGCGGCUGUACAACAUGAGAAAGAGUAUACCAAAUAAAGGUAAAACCCGCACUGGAAAAAUGUUGAACCAUUUCUAGCACUUUUCAAAAUCCAUUUUUUUGCAAUGCCUUGAGUGGACAAGGUAAGACAGUACGCUCACUAGAUCCAUCAUACUAUUACUAAAGUACACUGAACACUCACUGAAUCUCGACAUCAAUUAGAUCAACAAAACCUACGAGCGAGAGAAGAGAGCUUCACAUCAAGUCAAUAUCAAUAGAAAGAGGUGCUUCUAACUAAUUCUGUCUGAGCCUUGAAUAAACUACAUUCUCUUCGAUCCCUUUCCGGAACCAGCCCUAGACCUCUUCUUUUGAAUGUUUUAUGGGGCUACUUUUUCAGUCGCAGGUGCUACUACAACUAAUUAGUUCUUCAGUUGAUUGGUGAACAAAGAAAUUUAGUACGGAACAGUAAAGUUUAAUGGAUGAGUAGGCAAUCUCGGCACAGUAAAUUUUAAUGGAUGAGUAGGCAAUCUCGACACUAAACUCAUUGCAUAAAGAGACAGGCAAGACGACGGAUUUUAUUGGUGAGUCUUCCACUGGGGGGAACAAUGAUUCUUUCCCCUAAAGGGUAACAGAAUGGGGUGGGGUCUCCUCAACUCGCUUUCCCACACAGCUGCCUAAGAGAUUAUUCGACAACAGUAAAACGACUGACUGAUAUGAGAUUGAGCGAGGAAAUGCCAAACUCUCUCUGUUGCGCUAGUUAAUCAUAUGCAAUCCUUAAAGUGCAGCAGGGACACCUUUAAAGGAGAGUGAGCAUCCCUUUAAGUAUUUUUUUUGAUUUUGAUUUUCUUUUUUUUUCUAUUUAUUUCUCUUUUUUCUAAAGAACUCUUUGCUAUCCCAUUUAGGGAUUUUGGGUUCUCACCUUCUCUCUGGGAUUUACGUUUUAAGUGUCGGGGGAUCACUUCCUAUUUCGGGCCCUUCCAACCCCUCCUCCUCAGAAGAUUCAUCCAACCUCCAGGUCUUGUCGGAGCUUUGGCCCAUGACUCACAAUGCGCAAGUCACUCCAUUAGCUCUAUUAGCUAUAGGAAGAGGAUAUCGACUUAUUAAAGGGGCGGGCGGCAGUCGGACCUUUUUAUGAACUGAUAGCGCAAACUUUAUGUCAGAAUCAAUCUGGCAUUCCGCUUCGAAAGGGAUUUGUUACGCGCGAUAUGCCGAUGACUUACUACUGGGAAUCGUGGGUUCCGUCGAGCUUCUCAUAGAAAUACAAAAACGUAUCGCCCAUUUCCUAUAAUCUGGCUUGAACCUUUGGGUAGACUCUGCAGGAUCAACAACCAUAGCUGCAUGAAGUACGGUAGAAUUCCUCGGUACGAUUAUUUGGGAAGUCCCUCCGAGAGCGACUCUCAUAUAAUUCUUGCAAGAGCUGGAAAAGUGUCUACGGGUAAAGCACCGUAUCCAUAUAACUGCUUGCCACCUACGCUCCGCCAUCCUAUUGCGAAAACUGUCUCUGCAUAGGGGAAUGCCAAUGGCUUCAAGCAAGGAACGUAGUGUGACAGUUCCUCUGACAUUUUCUUGCAAUCUUCCUCCUAAUAUCUUUAACAGGGUUGUUUUCCCACUGCCAGAAGGCCCCAUUAAGGAAAGAAUUUCACCCUUUCUUCUUCGAAUAAGGAGCUUUUAGAAUGACUUCAAUUGGCACACACAACAUUACCCGCAUCAAGUUGACCGCCCCCCUACGUAGUGAUUCUAUCAAUCAUGACGUAGGUAGGACCCUCCAUUCUGAUUGGUAUAUCAUGAAAAAAGNNNNNNNNNNNNNNNNNNNNNNNNNNNNNNNNNNNNNNNNNNNNNNNNNNNNNNNNNNNNNNNNNNNNNNNNNNNNNNNNNNNNNNNNNNNNNNNNNNNNNNNNNNNNNNNNNNNNNNNNNNNNNNNNNNNNNNNNNNNNNNNNNNNNNNNNNNNNNNNNNNNNNNNNNNNNNNNNNNNNNNNNNNNNNNNNNNNNUGCUGGGACUUUAAUCCAUCUUCAAUGAACCAAUCAAAGCACCUAAGAUCGACUUGCUAAUUCGUCAUAUCUUUUGAAAAAGGGACCUGUAGAAAAAGAUUUGACGCGAAGGAGUAAGAAGGAAGGGCUGCACUACUAACAUAAAUACUACCGCGAACAAACUCACAACGGCAUCUAAGGGAGAGUAAGCAAAAAAAAUGUGAGCGCUCCUGCACUAUACGGACAGCUUUUUGGCGGUAGGGUUGGGGCUUGAGGCAGAUUUAAAAAAAAAUGGUUGAUUACUCAGAUUCGGGAUCAAUUUGACAAUGAAACUCUUUAAGCAAUGAUCUUAUCUAUGUCAUUUCUCUUGACGCGAUACAAAAGACGACUUUCGAGAGUUACUUAGCCUCUUGACCUCUUCUCUCAAAAAAGACGUUGUACGGGCAAGUCGAUCUGUAUAGGUUGGGAAAGGGCCGGGUGGAUUACCUUUGAAAGCUAAGUCGAAGAUCUCGGUGGUCUUGUGAGUGGUUGAUAAACUACGAUUGCAGUUUUCUUUAGGAAGUCCCAUAGCAGUGAGGCUUAACAGAUAAAGAAAAGGGUGGAUACUUUUUCGGGUAGAAGGUGACAACCCUAAUGAAUUGACUAUGAAGGUGGCUCUUAGCUACAUCAGCGCUCAAAUUCCUUAAUAGUUAUUGCCCAGGCUUCGAUGAUCAACCCCUGGCACAUUUAGGUUUUGAUCUUCGGCCAUCCUGGUCCUCAGGACCCAACACUAUAUUAUUCCACUAUAUUUCCUUUCAAAUGAAAAGAUGCAAAAGGUGUUGAUACGUCCUAUCCACAUAGAAAUCUUACCCUCUUCCACAUAUUACCGGUGGAUGCUACAGCUACUAUCACUUUGGCUUUUCUAAUAUUUCUAGUACCAACUAAUUCAUUCGGGCGAGACAUCUUACGAUGUCAUGAUGCGCCCAUUCCUAUGGCCAUUCCUUUAAUACUUCUGGCUCUCAGGAAAAUCUUUGUAGGAUACUUGGCCAAAGUGUGACCUGUUAGCCCAUAAGUAAGUACUAUGACGAAGCGGCUAUUGCUCACCCGACACGAUCAGCUCAAGCUUCAAAGGAUCCAUCAGCAGCAGCUCAAGUUUCAAUCUUUCUUCCUAACCAAAGCGGGGCACUCAAAAUCGUCGUUGCCAACGGUACAAUCUAUGGUGCCUCCAAGGCAUCCAGCCGAUCCUUAACCUUCCAAGUGAGAAAAAGUACACCACACUUUUUUAUCAGAUUUGCUCAGAAAUUCACAUUCGAUGAAUCCUAUAUUUAUUGGGGAAGGUUUUGAUUCUUUGCUAUUUCCUCUUUCUCCUCCCUAUUAUUUGAUUAGUGCUGCCUGAAAAGAGUUCCCCAUAAGAGGGAUAGUCAUAACAAGAUUAUGAUUAGCGAUUUUAGAAUGGGGAUUCUGUAGGGCCUUGGUGGCCCAUAAGGGGUUCAUACAACAGGUAUAAAGUUCAUCAAUCGGAAAUCAAGACAAACCGGGCACUACGGUAAGACGUGAAAACACCCGAUCCCAUUUCGACCUCGAUAUGUGAAAUCGUCUUGCGCCAUAUGUACUGAGAUUUUUCGGGAGACAUGGUCCAAGCCCGGUGAAAAAAUACAAUCAAAAAAGAUUAUGAUGUCAAAGCACCCUUGUUUUUCCAAUUUCCCAGCUACUGCGUGUUGAUUAUACUUAUUUAAGUAUGACGUUUUGUAUAUUUUGUAUUUUGCUUCUUUUUUUAUGGUUUUUCCUUUGAUCUGCUUAUUCCUGUGAAGUUAGUGUGAAUGGUUUCCAAUAAUACAAAAGAAAGAAUUUCCAAUUUACAAGAUAUGAUCUAUCUGGAUAGUUUGUUCUAGACAGUUUCCAUUGUUUUUGCUGUCGGUCUAGAUGAGGGACGAAGGGAUCUCCUGUCCUCUACUGACCCACCCCAAUCAGCAUUACUAUAGAUUUCUACUCUCCCAUGGCCAUGAUUAGUAUAGAUCAUACCUUUGCCAGGAUAACCUUUGAGGUACCUCAAGAUCCUGUAUACUACAUGUAGGUGUGCUUGACAAGGAGCAUGCAUAUACUGGCUUACCAACCCCACAGCAUAGGUAAUGUUAGGUGAGAAUUAAUCCCAAUCGAAUUUAUAGAAGGGAGACCCUCUAUUCUCUUAAUCUUUAGAGUAGAUAUUAUAUAUAGGAUAAUUAGUCCACUGCGGUGCAAAAGACAAGGCAAGAUAAAUAGGAAUGUUGAAGGGACAUAAGGCUCAGCUAAGGUAAGGAAAGACCCUGACCAUCUAGGUCACCAAUCUUAUUUUUUAGGGAGUCGGAGAUGAUCAAAGAGGCAGCAAAAUAGGAACUUUCGAUCAGGGAGAGCUCAACAAGGUCGAGACCAAGAUGAUGGAUAUUCCAAGAAAGAUCGAAGAAGAUGAAUGAAGGUUUAUACCUACCCCUAACUGGCGAACAUCCAGGGGAAUUGCUAGACUUGGGGUUGUCCCAUCAACUUCUAUUAGAAUAGACUCGAAAUGGGAAGCCCCUAGCGAAAGAAGUGUGGCUUCAAGUCAUGCGACUAAAAGUGUGUUUUCUUAAGUCUUUCUCUCAUUUCGAAAGAAGAAAGGGCUCGUGGAAUAGAAAGAGUUCGUUGCAUCAACAAAGUGUAGUAGUCAAAAAGGCUUAAUUAAGCUCACGAUGUGGAUUCGAACCACUUCUUCUCCUUAUUAUCGUGAGCAGGUCUGUCGUCCUCCUCAUUAUAGUCCUCCUAGAAUCCAGAGCAUUUCGUUGGGGUUGUGGGGCUUACUUCCUAGCCCCAGUGGGAGUAGUGACUAGCGUUAUAGGUCGUUGGGCGGCCGGAAGGUUGCCACGAGGUUUGGAGGAGAAUUGGCCAUUCAAUCUUGUGAACUAAUCGAGACCGAAAUUGGAAAAAGAGAUACGAACAGAGAGGAAUAACCAAUCGAUGAAAGAACAUAAAACUAUUCUGUUUCAAUAGAGGUACGAGAAACGGUUGGGGACAAUGAAGUAGGCGGAGAAUUGAGAAAGAGCUUAUUAGCUUAUUUCAAAUUCGAGUCACACACCGACCCGGGCAAUCACUAGCUACAAUCGAUGGAAUUUUGAUUGAAACUAUUCACUUAGUGUUCGCCAUGGAUGAUAGAAUUCCUCCUGGAAGCGAAGGUAGCAGCAAAGCCUAUUGAUUCACCAGUUUGCUAACCUACGUGUCGGCUACCCGCACUCUGUAACUAGAAUAGGGCUCUGGACUUAAAACCACCCGCUUUUAGAAGUCUGGAAGGCGGCGCCUAAACUAGUCGGACUUGCUUGAAUCGAUACGCUUACCGGACUUCUCUGCCUAUUCAAUUUAUUUUGUUGCAGACUCUUCCCCACGCCUAUUUCUUCCCCCAGCCCUGUAGUGGAGCUUUCCCCCCGCCCUAGGCCUAUUGAGAUCUUUCCCUGUGCAGGUAAUUUUGGGCUCUGGAGAGGAAUACCCGGAUCAUCGGAACUUCAACCAGAAGAGGUAGUCUUGGGUUCCUGGUAUAGGUAUAAGAAAGCCAGUAACCCUUUGCUUCGCAACCGUCGUCUUUUAGCUGAUUGAUGAGUGUCAAAGAUAGACGUGUCACGCCGCAUGAAGAAAGUUAUCAAGUUUAUUUCUGUGCCCCCUUUUUUUCGUCGAAAUAAAUUUAUGCACUAGAGUGCCCCUUUCGGUCUUGCGGCGCACUCACUCCCUUUCCUUCCGCUCACUUCUAGACCCUUCGCUCCCGGUUAGUGCUCUUUGUCCCGGUCUAUUCUGGGUGAUAUGAUAUCAUAUAGCCAGGAAAAAGGGAUCUACUAGUCAUCGCCUUUGAGCUGGUAUUACCUGGAGUGCUGUGUCCUAAUAGCCUACUGGUAUACAAGCACACCGUGCUCUAGGUUAGUUAAGCCUAUGAGCAUAAAGAAGGAAGUCUGCACCAGCCCACUAGCAAAACAAAAGGCAAGGAACUUUUUUCACUAGUAUAGUAUCGGAGACGAGGUUCGGUGGGAAAGUGAGCUGAUCUCGCCUUUGUUGAUCUGCUUUAAUAGAGUUGACCCUGCUACAUCGCGAUCGUUUAUUCCCAAUCAAGAGAGAAGAAAAAGCACACAAAGCACAGAUUCAUGUCCGUCCCUGACUCCAUUUCUUGUCUGAAAGAGAAAAAAAUAGGCUACCUUAUUCUAUGAGUCGAAGACAGCCUCAAAGCGCCAAACGAACGACCCUAACCAAUUUCCAGGCAAGAUCUAAGCCAAAUGAGCCUAAUCGUAACAAGCUUGAAUGAAAUCAAUGGGACCGGCUUAGCGAUAUGGCAGAUAGACCCCUAACAUUUCCUUGAUCUAAUGCUUUUUUUACGAGUAGAGUCGAUUCAGAUUAGGAGAGGGAAAAAACCUGAGCUCUAUGAUUUCAAAAAGGGGAAAGCAUACUACAAGGGGAAAUCUCCUAUUUCUAUCUAUUGAUGAGACAACUAUCUAUUCUUGAUCCAUCAGAAAGAAAUCGAUAUGUAUCUAAUAGAGUCUACAUCGUAUGUAGAGCGCCCAACCGCUUUUUAGGCCAGCUCAGUUCUCUUAUCCAUCGGUCCAAUGCACUGGGCUCAUCUCAUGGAGGGAAAAUCAAAAAUGUAGUUGUCUUAUUCGCCGCCUUGACGCAUUCCCUUCUCUCCCUGGUAUCGUCCCACACAGAAAGAAAGAGCGCAGAGCCCCGGCCCGACCUGCAGGUCCCUGGUAAUGACAGGGUAAAGGCUGCAUUAAUAUUAUCAGUGUGAAAUCCCAUGUUUCAAAUGAAACUAAGCCAUUCUCAUCCUAUAGGUUUUCGAUGAUUACAGAUCAGAUGGGUGUCAAAAAUGGUUGAGAGACAGCUAGGAGCUACCAUACGGUACACUAUGAUACCCCCGGUAACCUAUGUAUGAAGUGACUCGACUGAAAGGAGAGGGGUCAAAACUCACUGAUUGGAAAGGGGAGAAAAACAAAGCAAUGCCAAGAGCUUCGUCAAUCCGCUGUUCAUCGAUAGAUGGGAUUCUUUUAGGGUUCAUACAUGCAUUGAUCCAGUCGAAGAACCUGCUCCAGAGCGACAACUACCAAAAAAAAAGUGAAGGAGAGCCACUUUUUGUAUAGUAUAGAGUAUGACUAAAAUUCCAAGCGCUCCUAGCUCAGAAACCACACACAGACAAACAUAUGGAGGCCGCCAGACGAAAGAGAUCGGAAAGUUAAAGAUUUUUUUCCCUUAAGGCUAUCUAAGAGGCCUUUCUUCGUGCUUGGAUUUCUUCUCACGAGUUGUUGGGUGCGGCAUAUUCAUGGACUGGCAAAGCGAACUCUCAAUUUGAUCAGGAGAGCCUAGAGAGCUCUCUAUCUUUCUGUAUAAAAAGGGGUCGAGAACUACAUAGAUCUGAGACUUUCAAGAACCGAUGUUGUACUUCUUUAGUAGAAUGCUCCGUAAUCUAUCUAACUUUUCUGAAGCUGAAUUCAGGGCAGGUUUAAUGCUUGCCCGAUUUUGAGGACCCUUUAGCAGAAUCGUGGCUAGGGAACUAUACUAGCGACCUACCCAAUUUAUUGUAGAAAUUUUUGCGAUCAAUGAUUGGACCAUGCAAACUAGAAAUGCUUUUUCUUGGUUAAAGAAAUAGAUUACUCGAUCUAUUUCCAUAUCGCUCAUGAUAUAUAUCUUAACUCGGACAUCCAUUUCAAGUGCAUAUCCUAUUUUUGCACAGUAGGGUUAUGAAAAUCUGCCAAGGCUCGAAGACCUCUGGGACAUGGAACAGUACUUUAAGGCUGUUCGUGCCCCUUUUGAUGACCAAGGCACAAUGGCAACAAUCUAUCUCCCUGGGGAUGCGAAGAAUAUUUGAAACGACUUUCGUCACCACCUCUCACCUAUCCUACACAUUCGAUUAAGGUUGUUACUGCGAAGCUAUAGUUAAGGUGCACGGGGUCUUACUGUCUAGCCGUUGGUACUCCGCAUCUUCACGGAGAAUUCAAUUUCACCGAGUCCAUGUCGGAGAGGUUACGCUGCAUCACAAAGAGCAAUUGUGAGGAAUAGCCAUUCUAGAACAAUCAUUUGGUUUGGUUCAUUCUUUGACUGCUCUGCUCCCAGAAAGAGAGACUUUUUCUUGCUCACGGAAAUCACCGGUUGGGUUGGUCCAACCGAAAUUGAAGAUAAGUCUUUUGAUUGGGGGGUGACAACCGAGGCUUUUAAGAGAAGUUGCCAUAUAGGUUAUAAAGAGCUAUCUCAUAUCUAAUAGGAAUAAUCCAAUUCUUAUGUCUACUGUGGGAAAUGGGGUCCCAAGACCAUCUCUUCGACGACGUAGACAAAGGGUUCCCAUCAUGUCCGAUCUGAGAAGAGAGAUGAAUUUAGAAUACCUACGUCCUGGUAAACGAAAACCACCACGACCGGAUCAGAGUAAACAACACAAUGUCAAAUCAGGCCACCCUUUGCCUUGAAAGAUUUCACACGCGGCCACCAACUUUCCCAAAAUAAGGGGAGAUCUGCUGCAUACUGCUCACGGAAACAUCCGACCUGACGAAUCGGAUGCGCUCACCCAGCGAGAAAGGCCCUGACCCUACCAACCAGCAAUAUUGGAUAGAGUACCUAUGAAGAUGUCUUAUACUUAUAAAUCCUCUGUCGCACUUUCUAUGGCACGUUAGGAGCACCUCAGAAAAAGUAUAUUGGUGGGCAUGUCUACGAGCAAUCUUAUUAAGGCGAAUGCAUCCGUCGGAAGGUCUAUUCCUUAACUAAUAAUAAAAAUAAUAGACCAGAAUGGAUGUUUUCAAAUUCUUCGUCAGAGGAGAAUUGAUCACCCACCUUUAUGCGAUGAAUGGACAGGUUUUCCAAUGGUGCAGCUUUACCUGGCAUUCUAUUAUAUAAUUAAUAUAGAAUUAUAUAAUAUAGGGUCAUCGGUCGAUAGGUCUGUCUACUCCCAAGCUUGAUUUCUCUAGUUGGUACUAGAAUUGCUAAUGGGACGGUUAAAGACUGAAAUCUGAGAUCGGUUCCUCUUUUGGGGAGUUCACUCUCAACCAAGCGCGGGCUUUUCUGCUCUCUCCAGGAAAGAUCAAAAGGUCAGAAGUGGAUUCGCCCUGUGUGCUUCUCGCGACGUGCUUAUUUUAUUAGUAAUGACCGCCCUUAGAUACCGUUGCGAGUUUGUUCGCGGUAGUAUUUACCUUAGUAGUGCAGCCCUUCCUUCUUCCUUCUUCACGUCAAAUCUUUUUCUACAAGUCCCUUUUUCAAAAGAUAUGACAAAUUAGCAAGUCGAUCUUAGGUGCUUUGAUUGGUUCAUUGAAGAUGGAUUCAAGUCCCAGCGGAAUUACAGCUAUGCCCUUUUCCGAAAUGCCUGACUUUGUUGAGCAGCUACUUUGCAUCCCCUUUUAUAUAGGCUUUCCGCUUUUAGCCGUUCUUUUUUUCUCUGCGGCCUGUGUGGGACUGAUCCGAACUGAUAACCCGAACCCUUCGUAGACUGAACUCUCUUCUCUUUGGACUCGCGUAGGUUAGGGAACUCGCCUCAUUCACUGCUUCCACUCCAACUCGAACUAAAAACCUCUUCCUCAUCUUGACUCAGGGCGUCUUCAUCAGUGAGUAAAUCCUCAUCAUCAUCCUCUAUAAGAUAAAAGAACCUAACUCUUGGGCUUGUGAAGACUCUUGGUGAGGCUGUUCCAAGUGUGUAGGCCCCACAUCUUGCUCAUCUCCCCCUGUUGGGGGUCUUACAGUAGCUAUGGACAUAGAAGGAAUUCUUUGCAUGGCUUUUAACGUUUGGGUUCAAUAACAUUCACCUUAGUGGGACCCCCCAGCGCGAAGCCAGCUGAAGGAAGGUCGUGUUAGCGCCCCCUAUUUCACUAAAGCAAGAAGGAAGAAAGUUGACUUUGAGAAAGAAGGGCUUCUAUUUAGAUUAGGUCCUAGAUCAAAAUAUUAGGAAUCAAAGCAAGGAAAGUAGCAUUGAUGGAACGGGGGAUCGCACCUUCAGCGAAGAAAUAAGGUGACCAGCUAGAAAUUUUUUGAAAUCCCAACAAUAUUCUUAUUUCUUUAUUCCAUAUUUAGAAAAAGGUUAUUGAGACCUUCAAGCGAGAAAGGUGCUACGUCGGGGCCUCCUCAAGGUAAUUCGGAACCACUUUAAGGCUGUUUAUUGACCAUAGCAACGCAAUGUUCAGUGGUGGGGCAAAGCACUAGCGAGAAGCUUCCCUUGGGAUUGUUUUCCCAGGCAAUUUGCCUUUUUUGCGCUUAUACGCUUUUCUCUGUCUUUGAUGUCAAGCCCAGUCCCAGUGACCCAUUGGCGGUAUUGUAAUAAUAUUGCUUGCCACUCUUCGGUCCGGUAAACCAACUCCAACCAAGCCCAACACUUAAGAUGGCACUACUUCAACACUCAAUCGCACAGCAUUAAAGGUAGCGAGGCUGACUGGCACUUGCGAGGGAGUUUAGUUUAUAACCUCGUAGGCCGGGAAUGCCAUCAAGAACCCUUUUCCUCUUGGUCUCAGUGUCAGCCAAGUUAGCAUCGGCUCUAUCAUUUGAAGCUUAUGACAUUGAUGAGUGAUCCAACAGUCUUGAGUGGCAGUUCUCCAAGGAGAAGGGAUCCCAGGUAGGAGAGCCAGCCGAGCCAGGGGAAAGCGGUAGUCAAAGACUACCCGGGAGUAGGUUCUAGAAUUUAUUCAGAGUUGUCACUCCUCAAUCUUCGAAAUUCCAGCGAUAUACGACUUGAUACUUAUCAGUGCUACAUCUUGCUAACGUCGUCUGAAUUUCCUUGAAAGCGCUACAUCUAUAUGGCAAGCCCACAUCGCCUUCGUCUCCCAUUGUAGUCGUAGAUGGCAGCAGGAAAGACGGGAGCACGAACGAGGUAGCUUAUGCUUUUUUUCAUCCUCACUACCGGAUCACCUUUGGUCGAAUUAUUACGCGGAAGCGCUAGUGUGGGACAAUCUACUUUGACUCAUUUUUAUAGUUUACACACUUUUGUAUUGCCACUUCUUACUGCCGUAUUUAUGUUAAUGCACUUUCCAAUGAUACGUAAACAGGGUAUUUCUGGGCCUUUAUAGAUAGAGCAAAAAAAAUAUAUCCUAAAUAUUUGUAAUCAAUCAUUUAUCACUUGGUGGAGGAAUAUAUAGUAUUUCAUUGCUACAAGUAUGGAUUCACUGACGUCUAAGCUCUCAAGGACUUGUAUUAGUCAACAAGAAUGAAAUCUAAGAAAGCUGGUAGCUCGAGCGAGGAACGGAGCCUAUCCACUCAAUGGCCAACGGUCCGUUACCGAUUUCAAGUCAAAGGAAUAACAUUCAUUCUUCUUUCCUCUUCUCAAUUUCAGCAAGGGACGCUCUUGGUCGAAAGUCCCAUCCGUUGAAAUACGAGAUAGAACUUCCAUUGCCCACUUAUGAAUAGGAAAUAGAAGUCGCAAAAUACGAGGAUGACAUGUGGCUAGGGGUGAAAGGCCAACCAAGAUUGGAUAUAGCUGGUUUUCCUUGAAAUCUAUUUCAGUAGAGCGUAUGAUGUCGAUGGCCAAAGAUAGAGCACCUCAUACAGUGCUUUUUCAUUUGAUAUAGCUACCAACCAUUCUCAAUCCUUAGAACUAUGAUAGGACACCGUCAGACGAUUGAGUGUUGGCGACCAAGAAGCUACUCGACCGCGGCCGUCCUACAGCCGCCCGAAGAGGAACUGCAGUGAUCUUGAAUAGGGAUCCUACCCUAAAAAGACUAUUUCAACCCCCAACUAUUUCUCUGACCCCCUUUCCUUAGCAGUUCCAAAUUACUUAUCUUUCUCAUUCAGUAGAGUGUGGGUGUGAGUCAGGCGUAGUAUCCUCACUGUUCUUGUUACAGAAUCGACUCUGAACGCUGUUCAUGGUUAGCUGUAAGAAAGAAUAGCGAUUGUUGAAGAAGUUUGCUCUUUCGACGACUCUUAUUGCUCUAAAUAAGCUCUCAGCCUUUAGGAGUGCAGGCACGACUAGCUUACUCCAACCUUCUUGUGUGACCGCAUGUUGGAGAAAAGAGUUCCACAUCUUACUCUAACGUCAAUGUUAGGAUUUCAGUCUCUUUAUUUUAAAUAAAUAAGUUUCCAUUUGAAAAGUUUCAGUCACCGGUAACUAAAGCGUAUCGUUCCCGCAACCACUUUGGUACUUUUUUUAUAGCUUUUUUAAGUUAUACAAUAGAAGGGGAGGGCUUGCGCUUGAAUUGAAAGUAGCGCCUUUGGAAUAUGAGUAGGGCUUCUAAGUGGCGCGUUCAUGGAGGCAAAUCGAAGGAAGAGAAAAAGGAAGGUUGGGUGUUUGUGGGGCGCGGCCAUCCGGCCCCGAAUAGGAGGGGGCAACGCUCUGGAUCCUCCCUGCUUGCAGAAAUGAAUGGAUCAAAAAGUCAUCUCGGGAGAGAUACGAUCGGGAGGAGCUAAUUCAAACCCCUCCGGUAAAAUAAGAACAAACCCCCACGUUCAACCCCCCUUUUUCCCUCUAAAGCCCCUCGCUCCACUCAUUUUGGAACUUCUAAUCAAACCUGGCUGAACUUGGAACGACAUAGAUCAAAGGGUCGUUCAUUAGCCCUACUAGUCAAAUACAGGAAAAAGAGGGAUGGAUUUCGACCUUGCUUUUUUAGGUCUCAGGCUAGCUUUUGACUUAUAUGGCGCUUAGACUUAGCUCAUCAAACAAGUGCACCAAAAGUGGGGGAUGGUAUCAUAUUCUCUGUCAAGUUGGUUGGCAUCAUUAGCUCCUUUCUGUCUUUUGAUUGUCCGCCUCCGCCCGAAUAGAUACGCACUAACCCACCUGAAAUAAGGUAGGAGGACAGAAAGAGGUAAUACACGAUCAAAGGAUCUAACAAUAGUCAUAUGAUUGAAGGCUCAGCGUGCUUCCUAGAAAUGAGGUUUAUCCUUAGCGUGAGGCAGGUCUUCUUUCCCACCAUGCCCGCCAACCGCCCUCACUUCGCUCGUCUCUGUUAUUCAUUUUAUGUAGAAAGAUGAGACCCAUUAGGAGAUAACCAUGGCAUAAUCUAACCUGAGCCACACAAAGACUCCCUUAACAGUGCGAGCACUCCUGAAAAUUGGAAUAAUCAGAGGCGCAUCUUUGUGAUAUGUCCAUGAUCCGAGGUUUAGCUAGAAUUUCGUAUGGUGAAGAGGAAAGGAAGAAGUCAUUGUAAAGGAAGAAGAAAUUGACCAUUUCCGCUGCCUGCCUAAAUGUUGAUUGGUAGGUCUUAGGUUCUCUGUAAGUAGAGUGAUUGCAAAAACCUAGGUAUGUUUAUUUAACCUAAUAAUAAUAGAAGGUUUGAGUUGUGAUAUACUAUCCUCUGCAGCUGUAGCUAUGUGGAAGCCAGCUGCUUAAAGACUAGACCCCUAACCAUUCCGCUAUUCCUGCCCUAAAGCAAUGGAAUCUGCUCUGACCCACAACCCCUUGCCAGAUUGACAGUGAAUGAAUCCUUGUCAGACAAGUGCUUUCCUCGCUACGAACUACGCGAACUUAAUUGACUUGGAACUGAAUGUACUGAAACAACCAAGGCUCAACUCCUGUUGGUGCACAAACACUACAUCCAGCAAAAAAAAAGAGAUCCCCGGCUGUGACUGUUUUCUUUGCAGUGAGUUUAGCUGAACCCCUUAAUCCAGGACUUCGAGAACUUUACCAAUAUUAGGAAUUGGGGUGCUAAUGCUUGCGAAAGUCAUUAAAGUGUAAGCUUUACUGCCUGACAGUAUGGAGUACUGACCACACCGAGGGACAGGCCCUGAAGCAAAGAACGGGAAUGAGCGGAAUCAAUGUGUUCUAAUUUCUAGCCCUGCACCGACCAUCCAAUGGACCAUGGACUAAACGGCCACUGCCUGAAAGGACUAUGUCCAGGGGACCGCCGCCCCUCCCCCCACAAGGUACAUCUCACGCCUAUGGGCUGCUAUAACUAUCCAAGAAGACACUCGAAACUAGAAGGAUAAACAAACCCACCCGGUGGACUGCUGAGCUACAAGUCCUAUGACACAGGAGCGGAAUUCUCUAAAAAGCCAAGGUUGUGGGUGGCCAAGAGGGCCUACUUGUGGGAUCUCACCAGAAAAUGCGAAGGUUGCAACAAGCCGGCCGGCCAAAGAGAAUUAACUAGUUUAGUUCUGAUCUGAGUAGGCUCAUAAUAGGGAAUACCCUAACCCUGGGAACCGAGGCCUGGCCAUCCUUCGUUUGUGGUCAACGUUUUGGCUUUGUCCGUCGACAGCUGAAUAUUUUGAUCUGGUUUGAUUCAUGAUGAAUCUAAUCUUUUGCAUCAAAACCGAUUACAGUCUCUUUCCCAGGGUCAGGCUACUCUAGAAGAUCAGCAGUCUAGCCCAGUUGCUUCCCUUCCAGUCGCUUUCUAAAAUUAUGGAUCCCGCUCUCAGCUUCAUCGAUCCCCUCAAGUUUCUUAUCCUGUGAAGGCUUAUGAAUUGUUUUCCCCAAAAGAUCAAGCUUACCUCAUCUCAGUUCGAUCUUCUCAUGAACCUGAAUCAUUUGCUAAGAUGCUUUCACGUCAGAAGUGGGAAAUCCGCAGCAUGUUAUUCAGUCACCCUACUCGGGUGGGAACUACUAUCGUCGAAAAUACCUUAAAUAGGUAUUUGUCCUAGAUGGAACGGAAGGGCACGCGACAGAGUCUACCCUAUCUAAGGGUGAUUCGCACAAGCCGGUUUUAGGUCUGAAUGGGUUCGGCUGGCGAAUUUGGCUUUGCUGCGCCCAGGUGGGUGUUACCUCCACAAGAGUUGCACUUCCUCUUGAAUGCACAGAGAGCUUGCCCAUUUAUGUGAAUGCGAAACAAUACAGUGCUAUCCUCAAAAGGCGAUAGGUCCGUGCCAAGCGUCAGGCUCAAAAUAAGCUUGUCAAAAAUAGAAAGCCAUAUCUUCACGAGUCUCGACAUCUUCAUGCAAUGAAGAGAGCCUGGGGUUCUGGAGGGUGAUUUUUGAACACAAAAAAUAUGCAGCAAUCCAAGCCUUCAUCUCUAAAGCACGAUAGAAAUAUCUUUAAUCGUCAGGCAGGUGGUUUGGAAAUCGAACAAUUCCUUCUGUCGUGUAUCCUCGAUUAAUGCAACCUCAGAUACUAUGCUUCAAUUCUCGAUUCUAGUAUUAAGCGAAAGGUUACGCCUAGACGUUCUGUAUUAUGGGUCAAUCCUACUCUACUAUGUCCUGCCUGCACGUUAGCAAGUGCCUCAGGCCCUGCUUCUCUUUUCCAAUAAUCUCAGCCGAGUACUUCGUUCCUCUCCUUUUAGGCGAGCGCGAAGGAAGAAUGCUCUUCAUCUCCCCUUGCCGUAAUUAUCUCUAGAAGUCGCCCCUACAACCCCUUGACUCCUGCAUGAAAGGGAUCGAACGCUCUAUUAGUGGUCGACUGCCACCUUUAUGCUUUGGAUUCUCUGUUCCCCCGAAAGAAAUAUCGAUCGUCCUUACCAUUUCAGUCCUCACCCGGCUCUCGGCUGAGUAGUAGAAGCAACUUUGAAUUUAUUAUAAGCCCAAACGAUGGAUUCAAUAAGUUCUUGCCAAUAACCACGUCCGCUGAAUAGAAACAUUAAACUAAAAGCCCAAACAAAAUGAUCACCUAGGAAAAAAAGGCCAAGACUCAGUCUUUCGUUUCAGAUCAAUUCUUCACUGUAAUCGCUUCGAUCCACCCCCUUGGUGAAAAACUGGUAGCGAGAUCUUUCGUCGGUCGAAAUAAUGUGGAUUUGCUCCACACGUAUAGAAGUCCAAGGAAGAGAUGUCACAUAUAGAAAGAAGUUUAUCUUUAAGUUUACAGCUGGUUGGUCCAGCCUAUUCUUGAAAUAAAUAACUCGUACACACUACCUUUCCAAAAAAAAUCAAUACACCAAGCACUACACUUAGAUUUAUUGGAUUUGUUGCUAAACUAUCGAUAUUAAACUCGAAACUCCCGACAGAUGGCCAGUGGCCCAAAGAAACGAAAGAAUCGAUUACGUUUUUCAUAUGAUCUCCUUUUAUAGAUAGACAAAAAAAUUAAACAGAGUUCUUUUUGUAGCACUUCGCCCCUCUUUUUAUUUAUUCUUUUAUUUUUUCUAAAAUUGAGUAAAAAAAUCAAAAAUAUUCGAGUUAGUUAUAAAGGUGAAAAGGUUACCUACCCUAUGAUCCUCCUUAUCUUACAGAGGUUUACUACGAGCCAUACCCAGCGGGAUACCCCUAUCUUUCGCCCUAUCUCCCUUACGCUCCUUCCCUUGCCAAUGGAUCAGAAUCUUUUCCAACAACGUCCAGGACUCUAUCGUUAAAGAGCUUUUUUUCUUUUCUUAUGAAUAUUGCUUUUGGAAGCUCUCACUUCUUAUAACUUAUAAUAAUCUCUGACAUGAGACUUAUGAACUCAUUGGUUUUCUGCAGUUGAGUUGAGAAAGGCAAUAAAGUGGACAGGGACGUGUCCUAUUGAGAAAUGAAAGAAGAUGAGCUCAAACCCUGAACGAACGAUCUAAGUAAGGAGGUAGCUCCAGGAAGGUAGUUCUUUAACCCAGUUCAGUGAGACCGGGGCUUAGAUCUUUGAAGCAGAUGUUUAAGAAAGUUUCAAAAUGCUUACUCGAAAGAGUAAGGAAGAAGAGCUGCUUUUAUUUAAGCGGAAUCAGAGCUCUUGGGUAAGAAGGCAGGAAGAAGUUCACACCAGGAUUGAAGAAGCUGGUUUGAUAGAACCAGGGUCAGCGAAAGACGAUGGAAAAGGUUGCUUGUAAGCGUGAUCCUCUAUCCUCUCUCUUUCUAUCAUCAGAGAAUCAAUCUUGUAGCCUAGCUAUGUAGCAGGCUCAGAGCGUUUUGAUGGAGGAAGAACCGUGGAUAUGGAAUCUGCUGCUCUGGCCGUUGUUCUGUUACCCGGUCUUGGUGGUGUACUUAUAGGAGGUGUCGUACGGGGACGCUGUCUGAUCCUGCCGACAGGAGCAAAGGAAGGCCUCUUUUGCGGAAAUUCUAUAUAAUUAUAAAUGUAGAAAGGUGAGGGUGAGGUAUUUUCCCCAGCAUACGGAAAGAAAAUCCAAGAUGACGGCUUUCAAAAGACGAGUAAGGGACACGGAGAGGGCGACUGAAAAGAAGGCUCGACCUACAGGAAGAGGGAGGCUCUCAAAACCAAAUGAGACUAGAAAGAACAUGGGAAUGAGCACCAUUCAUAUGAGUGCUUUUGUUUUGUCUCUUCGAGACAACAAAACAAAAGGACAGCCCUCUCUAUAUCUCGGUCUCGGUUUAGCAUCAUAUAUCGCUCUGGAGAGCAUUUUUUUUAGUUGUAGUAUGGAUGAUAGAGUAGCUCCUCUAUGCUGUGGGUGUGGAGGGGGGCUGUCGUCGCCUGAUAGAGGCAGAAGCGGGGGCCACCAUAGCUAUCUGCGUCGAGUAUUUUGAUUGAAAGAGGAAGGGAGACAACUCAAAUGCCAGCAUAGAAAUAGAAAGAGUCGUGCUUCAAAGUAGAAUUCCUCUAAGAUCCAUUAAUUGAUUUUGCUGCAUACUCUACUCCCAAAAUGGACUUCAGCAAUGGUAGCUACUUCUUCUUCAGUCUGAGAAUCCGCCUCAUUGUCGCUUAUGGCCUGGGCGGCUUGGUUUGGCCGAGCCUGUGGGCGUGGUGUUUUGUCCGUAGUUGGAUCAUUCUAAUUGCUGUUUCAGUUCACUUCAUCAUUUGAGGAGUGGUGGCACUUUACGAUUAUAGUCAGCUAUUAGUGCGAAAAUUUCUCCUUCUUUCUUUUCUAUUAGUUGAUCGCUUUCUUACUUUCCUAGUAGCGAAGGAAAGGAGCUGAAAGCCACUGUAAGGAAAGGGCAGGGAUUUUUUCGUAGUAAUAGUGGGCCGGUCUCAUGAGAUCUAUGCCGGCCAUCGGAAUCAAAUGAAGGUCGAAGGACCAUUCAAUUCAUUAAGGGGCAUAGCGGCGCCCUCGCCCGGCGCCAUUUCCGGACCUAGCAGCAGACGGGCGGGUCAUGCCUGAAUUCAGACCAGACCAGACUCUUCUUUGUUUGAGCUGCUCCCAGGCACACAGACCGAAGAUCUCACUUGUCCUGGACAAGUACGUAGAGAUCUUUGUGGGACCGUGGAGGGAGUCUCAAUCGAUCUUUUCUAGGAUUCCUUAUCACGCCACACAUGAAGAUCUUUCGCCAAAAAAAUCACAAUAGAAAAAGUUCUUCUUGCCAGGUCUCCUCUUCCUUCAUUUCGGUUGCUUGUUAGCUUACCGGCUGAACCAUCAUCAUCUGCUUACUUGGUCACUUUCGUGAUAAGGCGCUUAAAAGGAUUCUUGAUCAUAUAUAUUUUGGGAACUAAAAGAGUGGCUGGUUGAAGGGAAAGGGAAGCCAGAAAAUCCAGAUAUCUUAAACAAGUUUGCUUACCCAUCGUUAUCUGGCGGGAAGUAAGCGCCAUCGAAAGAUAGAGUGUCAAACAGUCAAACUUUGAUACCUAAAUUCAUUCAUCCAAAGACUUUUCCAUUCCUUGAUCCGUGGAAGAGCAUGAUACACUUACCAGUUCCUAGAAUUGGCAUUACUCUAACAGAGAAAUGCCCAAGAAAGAUUGUUAUAAGAGAGAGAGCACUUUUAAAGAACAAAUUGUUCAUAAUGUAAUUGUUUCUAUGGAGAAUGCCGCUGAUAAAACCAAGUCCUAACUACAUACGUAUCCAGAAAUAUAAACAAAGUAGCUACUGUCAGUGCCAUUACUAAUGAGAUCCAAAUAGAUUUUGUUUAGCCCGAGAAAUUGUUCUUUGAGCUCUUCGUCCAUAAUAAAGGAAUGCUCAACCAAAUCUUUGAAACGGAGUCCUUUCAGUAAUUGCAGAGUUCCAUUCGUAUCUCUAUACUCUUUCCAAAGAAUCUCUAGUCUCGAUUUGGUUUUUUGUUUCAGUGAGAUUGUCAUGGCGCAAAAGCAGAUAUCAUCCGAUAUUCCCUUAUUCCCUGUAUUGGUUAUGUUCUUUAUAUCUCGUCUAGUAAAAACUAAUCGAGCUCCGUUUGAUCUCCUAGAAGCGGAAGCUGAAUCAGUUGUAGGCUAUAAUGUAGAAUAUGUGUGGGAUGCAAUCCUUAAUAGUUCACUGUUGGCAGAAGCCAAUGUCCCGGGGUCUUGGGGACUCAUUCUGACUGAAACAAGGGGCAAUUGCAGAAUUUGCACCCCGCAAAUUUCUAUGUGUUCGAGUAUGUAAAUAAAUUGCAAAUACAAUCCAAGUAAUAAAUGCCUAAGUUUCUUUUGGGUCCCAAUUCCAAUACGACCCCCACGCUUCAUUAUCCCAUACCGCUCCCGAAAGGAUUCCUAUGGUUUAAAAAGUAACUCCUAAACUAAUAACCCGAUAACUCCAAUAAUCCAAUUGUUGUGACCGACGGUUGCUUGCAAGAGGUGGCGAUCGACAGUGUUCCAAAGCGCCAUAACGACGUGCGUUAGAGCGUUAUGGUUGCCAAUCAAGAUAUCUUUCUUCUCAUGGAGAGUGUGAUGGCUUUCACUUUCGGAACGUCGACUUGCACUUGCAAUAUAGAAUUUGACUUUCUGGAAUCCUUGCUCCUGGCUUAUAUUCACAUAGGCCACUCAUAAUAAUAAGAUGUUUAACUUCCUAAAACACGUGUAAUUGAGAGAGUCAUCAUAUCAGUGCCUUGGGGAAAUACCUACCUUUAGGAGAAAAUUACCGAAUGAGUUUCAAACCUGUCCUCUUCGCUUCCCAAGAUAUUUAGGGAAAGGGGCAUUCAGCCACUUGACUCGUUGGAAAGGGGCCUUGUCGGCCACCGCUUGCUGACGACGGAAUGCAUCGUCAAUUAAAGGGUCCCCGCCUUGGACUUAGUUGGAAAGGUAGGUAUUCGGCAUGUCCCUUGCUUGCGAACUUCUUUAGUAGGGUAGAGGUACUAUUCCUCACGUUUACCCUUGUCCCCAGACUUUACUCUUUCAACACUUGUAUACUUUCUAAAGAGUCAGGCAUGCCCCUGUCCCUGUCUCCAAGUGUGUGAUCCACUGAUUCACUGAGUGACUUUUUCUUACCGCUGUGCUGGAGUCCCUAUCUCUUAAAGGGUUGGUAUGGAAGACUUCCCCCUUGUUUGCCGAUUGAAGAAAGCCUUAUAUGGCUUCAAACAAGCGAGAAAGGCCCAUUCUAUCGUUAUAAGUCAAGCGCGCUAGCUACAAUCAUUGAUAGAUAGGUAGGAAUGACGAUAUGUGUUCCCACCAGGGAUGAAAUAUUCUCAAUGCACGAUUUAGCGAAGGCUGAUUGCAGUGGGUUUGGCUUGAACAUAGGCUCAAACAGAAUGUGAAGGGUCCUAGCUACGCCAUGCGUUCAAUACAAAAUCUGGAAAGCUGUAGGGAUGACAAAAAGAGGGCAUUUUCCUGUCUUCAGCUUCCUGCAUGGUAGCACCCAUGUGAAAAGGGAAGCCAGAGACUCUGAACUCUGGCUGCUGGAACAUGUCACAUCCCUAUCAGGCGAAAGUGCCACCAAUACUCUUCCUCAGCCGCAAGUGCGUCAUGAUCAUCCAACCGCUUUUUAUGUGCGCGUACCCAAUAAAAGGGCUAGUUCAUUAGUUCAUAAUUUAUAACUAACUCGAAUAUUUUUGAUUUUUUUACUCAAUUUCAGAAAAAAUAAAAGAAUAAAUAAAAAGAGGGGCAAAGUGCUACAAAAAGAACUCUGUUCAAUUUUUUAGUCUAUCUAUAAGAGGAGAUCAUAAGAAAAACGUAACCGAUGUGUUAUAGCUCAUAGCUCUAAGCCCCAAUUCCUUGGUGAUUACCUGAGGUGAGGUUGCCCUUCUUUCUGCCUUAGAAGAGGUAUAGUUUAGGCCAGUGCUCUACUCUAUUUUUCGAAUAAAUUUCUUUAAGGAAAUAUCUAUGAACUUAGCUCGGACUAAAUCCGCAUCCGCCUCUGUAGCUCUUCUAUAAGAGCGGACCUUUUUCUAGUCCUAUUCUUUUCUCUUAAGUUCCUUUUGGAACACUUCAUGUUGGGACGUCUGCACCUCUUUUUAUUUUGAGACAACCACAGGUUCCACUAAUCCUGCUCUAUCCAGUUUGAGGUCGUCUAAACCUGAUACCCUACUCCAGAUUCCACUCUGCUCCUACAUCAAAUUCAGCCUCCUCCGUAGCUCACGUUCAUAGAGGGAGACUUCCCAAACGAAGACUCCAGGUUACUGAAACGAACACAAGACUUUAGAAAGCCACCCAAUGUAGGAAGAAUUACCUCUCAUCUGUUCUAGCUACUCCACACUUGCCUUAAAAGCGCCUACUUUUCUUUCUUCAUAAAGAUGUAUAAAGUUUGAUUAAAUUGCGAUAGCUGAGAUAAAAGCUAUAUUAUUAUGCGUGGAGCCUUUUAGAAAAUCCCUUGCUUUUUUAUAUUGUCGGAGACUGAAAAGGAGGCUCAACCUACAGGGAGAGUAGUAGGCAGGGAUUCUCUACAAUGACAGGGGAGCUAGUACAAGAAAACUAUCUUAGAGCCUCUUCACUUCCUAAGUCCCCGAGACCUACCAAAUCCUCCUAUGAAAUUCCUAGUCCCCUUCUUCAUCCUUCUUUUUAACCCGUCUACUGAUCUGACUUUUAUUAGUUUGGUUCACUUCAUAAAUGACAUCCUGUCAGUUAGCAUUCAAAUGCUACUAUAUGCUUAACACAUUGACUUCUAUUUAAGUAAUGAUGUGCUCUAAGGGAGUCUUCCCAUCCCGAAUCUACUUAUCGAUACUCGUCAAAUCCAGUUCUUUCAGUAGGAGAGCGACUACUGCAGUCAUAUCCUGUCUUUUCUUCUAUCUCCUCAUCAUUCAGUCAGUGAUCUAGUUGCAUUCUAUCUUGAAGCGAAUGCAGCAUAAGGUCGCUUGCGCCUUUCUUCCUUCGUUCUCCUCGCUCCGAACCUUAUUCAAAGCAGAAAGACGAUGAUCUCAUACUAACCCUACUGGCCCUUCUUGUUCAUAUGUCAAGGGCUGGUAAGGUUUUGCGCAUUGUAUCGAAUUAAACCACACGCUCCACCGCUUGUGUAGGCCCCCGUCAAUUCCUUUGAGUUUCGAUCUUGCGACCGUACUCCCCAGGUGGAGUGUUUCACGCGUUAGCUGGGCCCCUGAUUCGCGUAAACCCGGGAUGGACAAAGUCAGCUUGAUCUAAUGCUUGCUAUCAUCUUGCAAAGAAUGUUUUUAGUCCUUUUCCCUAUCUGUCUACUGAAAAUGGCUUAGAAAUAGGUCCCCCUUUGCAGUAAUUUGUAAGGAACCUCGGGUCUCGCAGGGGAGAGAGCGUGCUUAGCUUUUUGCUAAUGAAUGAAUUCCUCUCAAAUGAGGAAAAGGCUUUUUCACGAGAAUGGAAUCUGGGAUACGAACUAAGAUAUCUCGUUCAAAAUGAUGCUAUUCAAUAGUGCCUUCCUUAGAAGGAAUUUCCACAGGGGCAUCGCGAGCAGCACACAGGGCGAAUCCACUUCUGACCUUCUGAUCUUUCCUGGGGAGAGCAGCAAAGCCAACAGAAAGUUUUUUUAUCAAUUCCCAACAACCAGAAUGAAAUAUUAUUUAAUCGUGGAAAUGCCAUGUCUGGCGCACCUAUCAGAAUCGGAACAGACCAAUUACCAGAUCCACCUAUCAUCACCGGCAUAACCAUAAAAAAGAUCAUUAAAAAAGCAUGAGCCGUUAUUAAAACAUUAUAAAGUUGAUGAUUCCCACCAAGAAUUUGAUCGCCGGGUCGUGAUAAUUCCAUACGAAUCAGUACUGAGAAGCAUGUGCCCAUCACUCCAGCAAUGGCACCGAAGAUGAAAUAAAGAGUCCCUAUAUCCUUGUGGUUAGUGGAGAACAGCCAUCGGACCGGAUUUGUCAUAAAAUUGAGAUUAUUUUGUUUCUUUCCUUAUCAGAAAGGGGCCCACGGGGUAUGCUUAUCUUCAAUUAGAAGAUGGUCACCCGCCCUAAGCAAGAUCGGUUCAGCCGGCCAAUUCACGAAUCUUCCGCAGAGUACCAGCGCCAGCCCUAUGAGCUAACUUUCCAUUUGACGGCAAAAGAAGGGGCCCUGUGAUAGUCACAUCUUUGACUAAUAUACACGGGCUUCUGAGAGGAUUUUUUAAUCAAGCCAAGAGAUAUCGAUUUAGCAGUCCAUACCAGGUAGAUUUAGGAGUGACUGGCAGUGAAUGCCCGGUAGCAAAGGUGCGAAGCAGACUCGGCUUAACUUCACUUAAGUUCGGUUUCCCCUGGAAAUGAUGGAACAAGAUUUUCUUCCUUUUAGUGACUAUGAGCUCAUAGAGAGCUGGAAUGAACUUGGUUAGCUGGGACUAAGAAGGGAUAGGAUUUGAUUAGCGCAUUUUCUGCCUGUCCUUUCCUUACUCUGUCGAUGGUAUGCCUGAGAUGGCAGUCUUUCUCCUUGGCUUGUACUCGAGAUCCGAAAGAAGUGGAUUUCGAACCAGUAUAUGCAAAGCAAAGGUCUCGCCGUCCCCGACCUUGGGGCCUAGUCGCUAGCUUGAUGGACGCUAUCAUUUCAUAGGAAUUCUUCAGUCUAUGGCUUACCGGUCGGGUGAAGCUUGCACGAGACUCUAAUCACUCUAAUAGUAUCUAUAAUAGAUACUAAUAGUAGAAGUCAUCAGGACGGUAGCACUUCAGCGACUGCUGUAGCAGCUUUAGAUACGCACCUGCUUCAGUUUCAUUCGGCAAAAAAAUGAUUCCAUCAAAGUGGGGAGGAGAGGAUGAAUGAGCCCGAACAAAGCCCACUCUUCAUUCCGGUAAACCAACUCCAACCAAGCCCAACACUUAAGAUAGCACUACUUCAACAUUCAAUCGCACAGCAUUAAAGGUAGCGAGGCUAACGGAUUAUAACAGCAUCAGACCAUUGAAAACUUACUUAACUGAUCAGGAACUAGACAAACCGCAGGUCAGCUCAUAAAAUUCAAAACUUGAGAAGUAAGGGAAUAUCGAUGGCCUUUGUUGAACAGAGAGCGAACGGACGGCAAGUGACUUUGAUCUCAUGCUGGCCUUUACUUCGGCUACUACGAAUUUGCCAAUUAUGAGUUGGGUGCUUUAACCAUUCAGCCAUGGAUGCUUAACGGGGAUCCUCGUACAUGGUGAAUAACCAAACUCCAAUUGAAAUGAAAUCUUUAGGAUAAAUUAAUGCAAUUUAGGAGGAAUCAGCCAAGGAGAAAGACUGCCAUCUCAGGCAUACCAUCGACAGAGUAAGGAAAGGACAGGCAGAAAUCGCCCUAAUCAAAUUGUAUCCCUUCUUAGUCCCAGCUAACCAAGUUCAUUCCAGUGAAUCUGUUGCGACACGGAUGGGAAUGCAUGCUACAAAAGAUAGGGUCGAGUCUGAUACAUCAACCGUCUACUCAAUAUCCUUGUGUGAGUCCACAAUGACUACACGAGAUGAACCUUGGUUUGGUGAAUUGAAGUUGGAGCCCUGCUAGUAUGCCUCGAGAGACUGAGCUACUAUUUUCUUUUCCUUACCCAUAUAUCAUAGUUAGUACCCUCAAAGCCAUUGCCUUUCAAGUAGAGCGUCUUUUCAAUUCAGUCUUGUCCCGCCUGCUCGCUAGCAAGUGCCUCGGGCCCUGCCUCUCUUUUCCAACAAUCUCAGCCAAGUGCUUCGUUCCUCUCCUUUUAGGUGAGCUACUUCGUUCCAGCCUUCUUUUUCUAUUUUGAAACACUUUCAGCUUGAACUCUAUUCAUUUGAGCUCGCAACCCUAGGAGUUCGGUUCAGCGUCACAAACUUUUUUAUUUUCAUACCGUAGAGUUCUUAACAAUAUUAAUGUUAUGAAAGAGUACGAAAAAAAAAUAUUUUUUCCUUAUUUGAUCAGAUUAAAAAGAAACUUUGGGAUUGCUGAAUCACAGACAAAAAAAAAGAAAAAAGAAACAUAUAAAGCAAUGGAGCCAUCAUAGUAUUUUUUAACUCUUCCGAAAGGAAGGAUGGCAAUUUGAUUAUUUACCCAUCGGAGUCUGAUAGAUUUUAUUUUUCUCUUUCUUCAAUAGAAAGGAGGGGGGUCAAUUUUCUUUUAGAGCUGGACUCACUGGAAUAGUUCUGGCAAAUUCUGGGCUAGACAUUGCCCUACAUGAUACUUAUUAUGUGGUUGCACACCUACCGGUAAAGGUAGGUCGGGAAAUGUGCAAGGCAGAUAGAAGUACCGAAACAACCACAAUAUGCACCACUGCCAAUUGAAAAACAAAUUCUAGUCAUUUAUGCAGUUGUCAAUGGAUCCUGUGUCUACACGGGAGGGGUGCAGUUUAGAUAUAUGCCAAGGUCUCAGACAAAAAGGAAAUAAAAUUUUGAUCUGAAUCCAGGUUGUUGGCUUACCAGGCACUUGCCCGCUACUCCUGUCGCCCGUUGCUCCUGUCGCCCACUUGGCGGGCGAAGUGCUCGUUAUCCUGACUUUUUGGAAGACAGCUUGAUGAGAGCUGGGUAGGAAUCUAGCUCAACAAAGAGUUUUUCUCGUCGGACCCAUAUACCCAUGAAUGAUUUCAGACUUUAUCACACCUAUUUCGGAGGAUGGUCAACAGACUUGGGAAGUCACCUUCUUCUUUCUUAUGCUAUUACCAAAAGCUCUUUUCUUAGGAAGGAUUAUUCCAGUUUUCAGUCUUAUGACCUGUGCCCUUUCACCGGCAUUUUAUUCAACGAGACCGAAAAUACAGUAAUGAUUUGUUUUAUGGACAGUUAUAUUAUUUCCAGCCCGUUCCUUCAAUCAAAGAAGAAUCCAUGCCCAGGGCUAGUGCCAGCGCAUAGUCAGAGUCUUCCCUGCGUGCCUAACAUCCACUCCUUCUAGUCGAGUGCCUUACCGCUAUCCUUGGGAAACUAAAAGAUCUACCGAAGAAAAGGGAUACAGUCUCUCCCUUGGCCUUUGGAGAGGAGAGGGCAGAGAAGAAAACGACCUUUGCGCAAGUUUCUUUGCUUCCUGCAUCAUUACUAGUAUAAAAGGGGCUCUUCGACCGCAUCCAUUGCAACUCCCCAUGCUGGUAAGAAAAGGGUCAACCCAGUGGCGCAUCGACAUCUUGAUACGGCUGAGAAGCCCGAGGCUUGGAUAACAAAUCUGAAUUCCAGUAUGAGGUCAGCAGUUGAUCUCUACGGUAAGCGAGACAUAGACAAGAAGCUCAUGCACAGAUUGACUACAGAAUGAGCAUUUCAAAACUCAUGUUUAACCAAGAGGGGAAACUAGUUGAGAACAAUAAAAAAACCGGUGCCCCUAUUAAGAGGACAUUAAAUCAAUGGUUAGCUAGGUCGUUAUAAUCGUAACGGAGAUUCAACCUACCCGCUUACUCCGGUAGGGCCGUCUUCCAGGGUUUGUCCUAUAGCUACUGAGGAUCCGAUCUGUAGCGCGCCACCCAAUUAAGGCUACCAGCAUCGGUCUACCCUUUCCCCUCAUUAUCCAUUCAUCAUGGCUACAGCCAGACUGAUUGUUCUUGAACAUAAGGCAAUUCAUUUCAAAUAGAUCAAGGUCGAAAUCAGAAAGGAGAUCUGGUGAAAACUGCAAGGCACUUGCAUUCCUUUAUUGAUGUGAUGGUUUCUUGUUUAUCGGGAAUAAGGUGCGGCAGAACCCAUAAUGACCUGCCACUAUAGGAAGUUCCCAAUCCCUAGGGUCGAUUGUCCGUCUAGUGAGUGAGUGCUGAGACUGUCUCUCCCACCAGUCAAGUCAGGGGGUCAUGGUCAAAAUCAAUGAGAUCUAUAAAGUGAGACUCGCUACUAAAUAAAGAAGGUACGAUCAAAGGUUUUUUGACUCCUUUGCUUCAACUCAUCGAGUAAAAUCUUCUCUUUCUAUUCUAUUUGCUCUUGACAUAGUGGCUACCACCAAUUUAUAUCAGACUCAGGACCAAUAGAAGAGACGAAUGCGCCCCGUGAUGUGAUUCAGAUAAACUUCUGAUCUUAGUCCAAGAUUAUUUUCACUAACUGAGUCUAGAAACUCAGCACUUAAACUGAUGUCUCCAUCCCCGUAUCGGAGACCUUCUUUCGUCUACCCUUUCCUGGGACUCCCUCUCAGGCCGAUCUGGUUCGCUUAUUGUGCUUCUCUCAAUAGUUUAAUCAAACAAUCUUAAAAGGGUGGGUCAGAAUUUCAGUCUACCAGCUUAUACCUACCGACCGAGUUUUUGUUUAGGGAGCUCCGACUUAUCCUUUUCGUUUUAGUGCGGGUUUAAGCUCAUCUUCUUUCAUUUCUCAAUAGGACAGGACUAAAAACAUUCUUCGCAAGAUGAGAGCUUGCAUUAGAUGAAGCCGACUUUGACCAUCUCGCAUAUCAACUUCCUCUAUCAAUAGCAUAAAGCCGCCCAACACAGAGAACGAACAUGGUCGAUAGGUAAUUAAUCUUCGUUUGGAUAGCAGUACGGUACACGAAUCAAGAUAUAAUCUUUGCUUUUCCAUCCCUGGAAUUCAAAAGAAAAAGGGGAAAGGGAGAGUUAAAAGCACCCUGUAGAUAAAGAUCGAGAGCCUGUAGACUGGGGUUGAACCAUAUCCCCCUUCUGUUAAUCGAGAGUGUGACGAAGUGAACCGCAAAUAUUGUGCGGUAAGAUGAUGCUGUGAGGCAGAGAUAGCUGCACUUCUUGUUCUUUUUUCCCUUCAAUUCUUUAAUGCUUCUUUCAGGUCUCGCUACCCCUGACCAUAAGAAAAAUAUUAUACUAUAAGAGCGAGGUGCAAGUGCUGCAUAAAGUUCUGUUAUCCGUUGUUCAAGCCUUUCUUUGAGCAGAGCGCUUUCUUUCUGGUCAUUGGCAAGCGCAAAUGGGCUUUCACACUCGCUUAUGUUAUGGGUGGGAUGAAGACAUCUAUCUUAUUAUAUGGAAGAAGAUCGUUAGAUAGUUAGCAGCUAGAACAAAAUAAGGGGCGUUGUAUGGAGGUUUCCAAGCAGAGGUGCGAAGCAAUUUGAAAAAAAAAAAAGAAACAACUUUACUGACAAUUACAUAUUUUUUAUUUUGUCAGAAGAGUCCUCCGAAUAUUUUGAAAUAGCAAAGAAUCAUUCGGCACGUAGUGAACUGCCAGAUAGAUCAGUACAGCUAUUGAAUAGAUAGAAGAUCUAGCGCCUCGGUCAAAGAGAAUGGGGCUGUCAAUAAUGCAGUCAUUUUGCAUACAUAAUCGGCUUUUGAACCAUUCAAUUCACGGGUCCCCUAAACCUAUGGAUGGUUUCAUAGCGUCUUUCAGGAGGCUCAGCUUGAAUCGAAAUGCUUCGCUGGAGUGAACGAAGGAUGUUUCAAGUCCUUUGAUUGUGCGUUUAUGCUUUAUUUAAGCAGCUUUGAAUGCGCUUUCUAAUCUUCUUCUGUAAAGAAAGGAUAACAGAGAGGCUCAGGCUAGAUCGGGAGGAGCUAAUUCAAACCCCUCCGGUAAAAUAAGAACAAACCCGCCUUCUUAUUUUUCUUUAUUUAUUUCAUUUUCUUGGAAAUAGAUUUAGAAGUCAAAAAGGAAUAAUUCUAACUCACUCAUAACAACAAGAAGCCUGGGCCUGAAGGCACCAAGUCCCAUAGAAGAUCUUCUUAUUCCCGCCUCUGCCAACUACCGGGGAUGAAAUGCCAGCAACAAGGAAAGCUACUAAUUAGGCUUAGGCCUGAAGGUCUCAUUCCAGUUUGAUUUCCAUGCCUACAGGAAAGAAGAUCAAGAAUGCCAAAAAAUCCAAUCCCGCAAAGGAUUGUUUAUGGAACUACUAUCGAGAUUCUUCGAACCAUAUUUCCUAGUAUCAUCCCUAUGUUCAUUGCUAUACCAUCAUUUGCUCUGUUAUACUCAAUGGACGAGGUAGUAGUAGAUCCAGCCAUUACUAUAAAAGCUAUUGGACAUCAAUGGUAUCGGAGUGCGCCUCUUCACGAGGGUGAUUAAAGUGCAACGAAAUGCCUUAAAGUUGAAUAUGGUUCGCGAAACCUCAAUGAAUUCUGGCAUCACGGGCUGAUCCAUAGCCCGUAUGAAUAGGAAAGUCUAUAUUAACUAUCCAUAGGCUAUCCUAAGAACGAUCUCUAUAAUAAGGAAAAUAAGGAGUACCCUCACUCACAGAGGAUUCGAUAAGAGUCUAUUGAUUCUAGUGCACUAUCCUUAACACAGGUAAAUCGGUCUUUCUUUUUAUCAUAUGGUAUUCAUGUGGAAGAACUAGGCUAGAAAAGAAUCCCUCUUUCAUUCAUCAAUUUCAUUGCCUCUUCCCUGUCCUAGGUGUGGACGAAGACCGAGACUUCUCUAAGAUCCGAUUCGAGAACCCCCUCAUCUCGUGGCUAGGAACAUCUAUGUAGAUAGGAUUGGAUUCAUAGUGCCAGUUAGGGGUAGGUAUAAACCUUCAUUCAUCUUCUUCGAUCUUCCUUGGAAUAUCCAUCAUCUUGGUCUCGACCUUGUUGAGCUCUCCCUGAUCGAAAGUUCCUAUUUUACUGCCUCUUCGAUCGUCUCCAACUCCCUAAAAAAAAGAUUGGUGACCUAGAUAGUCAGGUUCUUUCCUUACCUUAGCUAAGCCUUAUGUCCCUUCAACAUUCCUAUUCAUCUUGCCUUGUCUAGCUCUACCAUAUCUUUUGUUUCAUUUCUUCUGGAACAAUCACAAACACUUUUUUGAUUAUGGAUCUACUACCAUAAAUUCAAUGCGUAAUCUCAGCAAGUACGGAACGAGCCUUGUCUACAAAGCAGAGCGACCUCAUCUUGCUUGCAAGUGGAUUAAAUCCAGUAGUUAGGGAAGCCAGUACGCAUACAGGAAGUGGUAAAGCUGCAGUAGAGUUGGCAUUUGAUUGCCCUAUUGUUUACUUGAAAUUCCUAUCUAUUCUUGAUCCAUCAAAAAAAAAUCGUUUGUAUCUUCGGGAUAGGAGUUGGCAGUCUUCUUUAAGAGAACUUCAAUCUAAUACUCAUUAUGGAUCAACUCAUAUUUCCACUCUAUUUUCAUUACGAGGAUGUAUCACAUCAGGAUCCGUUGCUCAAACCGAAUCACGGCAACGUUAUGGAAGUUCCUGGAUCGUCGACAUAAAGGAAGGUCUCAUUCCAGUUUGAUUUCCAUGCCUGCAGGAAAGAAGAUCGAGAAUGCCGAACUAGUGAAUACAGAAAGCAAUUGAAGGCGUUCUAGUUUGUUCAAUGUAGUUUGAAGACCUACAACAAGAGGACCCCUAUAAAGCCCCUAGUUGCCAAAGAUCAGGAAGCUCUUUGUUAUGAAGAAGCCACAAAUAAAUCAGAGGAAAAUUAGGGUCUAAAUCAUAUAGGGGUUGGCUACGGGCGGCACCGUAUAGCUAUAACAUUCUGCGUGUGUAGCACCUAGCUGUCUCUCAACCAUUUUUGACACCCAUCUGAUCAGUAAUCAUCGAAAACCUACAGGAUGAGAACGGCUUAGUUUCAUUUGAAACAUGGGAUUUCACACUGAUAAUAUCAAUGUAGCCUUUACCCUGUCAUUACCAGUCACACAUCAGAGUAGGCAAAUAGUGAAAAAAAUGAUUCAUGAACUUAGAAUCCCGAUCAGAAGUGAUAGUUUGUUCCAGGAAUGCAAUGGAGCCUAACAAUCUCUCGAAAGUAGAGGUCACCAAGUUCGAAGAGCUACACACUCCCGAAAGCGAGGAAGCCGACCAAUUCCUUCAAAGGGAGGGAAUGAAAGUUGGCGACCCAGAAGAAAAAAAAAGAGUGGAAUAUAUUUAUACCUGUGGUAUGAACCCCUUACGGGCCGCCAAGGCCCUACAGAAUCCCCAUUCUAAAACCGCUAAUCAUAAUCUUGUUAUGACUGUCCCUCUUACGGGGAACUCUUUUCAGGCAGCACUAAUCAAAUAAUAGGGAGGAGAAAGAGGAAAUAGCAAAGAAUCAAAACCUUCCCCAAUAAAUAUAGGAUUCGUCGAAUGUGAAUUAGUGAGCAAAGUUGAUCAAAAAGUAUGGUGUACUUUUUCUCACUUGGAAGGGUAAGGAUCGGUUGGAUACCUUGGAGGCACCAUAGAUUGCACCAUUGGCAAUGGCGCUUUUGAGUGCCCCUAACCUUGAGGGGGCCAUAGAUCGAGUUCUGGGCUAAGGUUACCAGUUUCGCAGCCCUUCGAAACUCCCUUCUGGAAAAGGUUCAGUAGAUCUACUAGGUUACUAGAAAUGACCAAAGAACAAAAAAAACUGCACCUAGUGAUGAGCUUGACUGGUACUCUAACAAGAACGCGGUCCAAUCUAGCAAAGCUGGCUCAACGUAUGCUCUAGCUCCGAUACGGAGGGCUUAUGAGUCACAGAAUUUGAAGCCAAAAAAACAAGGUAAGAAAGGUGGAGCGGCCUCACACAAAAAGAUUUGUCUAAGCAAUCUUAAAGAGAUUUUCAAUAAGUCAAUACCAAGAUUUACUUUCUGCGCCUACUAAUGUGAUGAUAAUUCAGAAGCUUUUUUGCAAAGAAGAAGGGCCCUGUUCCUAUGGGUUCACGUGCUAAGGCUCCACACUCAAACCUCAAGGAAGGCAGGAGAUUGCGGAGUAAUGGAAGACAGAAGGAUUUUCACUUGAUUAGAUGGGAUUGCUUCCUUUAGCACUCCAACAGACUCAAGGAUGAAAAAAAAAGGUUCCACACGACCAAGGAAGCAUCGAUUUUUAAUCUCAUUAUGACUUGGUCGUUCGGAAGAGAAAUUAAUUCGAUCAGAAGAGUGGAAUGGAAGGCUGUAAAAGAAUGAAAUACUCCUUUCUUUUCCAAUCGCCCCAUGAAGACAGACGCUCGGAAAGGUUCUCAAGAUUCUCAAUCGCUCUUUUUAGUGGGGAGAAAUAGUGUAGGGGCUUUGUUUAGCCGCCUAUGUAGUAAGAAAAACUCUGAGUUUGACGUUGAAUAGCCAUAGUGAGUUCAUCACCAGUGGCAUAAGCAGAAGAGGCAUAUGGGGUGGGGAGAAAGGCAAUUUACCUUUCUCUCUAGGAACCUUUUGAAGGCAGGGAGUGUGACAAUGUACACGCUUCCCUUUACUCCAUAGGUCCUUCUCAUCAGUUGCAGGGUUUGGUGGCCCGAAAUUGACUUGGCUUCGCCAAAAAGCCUCAUCUCUAAAAACCCGACUCGCGAGGCGUCCCUCUCGCAGUAGGGUUCCAACCUCGCCUCGCUCUUGUGACAUGCUAUGUUUCCCUUCUCUAUUCCCAAGUAAAGGGUGAGUCCCAUGCAUCAGUUUGUGGAUCGCGAUCUCACACACUAAUCCCUACAGGUGCUCAUAGUAGGCCGGCCGCCCUACCUAAACUAAUCGUCAUAUUGGUCCCUAGGCCCCAUUGCUGGAAAGGAGAAUCAUAGAACGAAUGAAAGAUGGAGACAAGGGGCGAAGGAUAUUGAUGAUAUUCGGAAAGAUUUCUGUUCAUUUGCUCUGCUCGCAGAGCUGUAUACCAAAAAAAAAAGAGACUUGUCAGAAAUCGCCGGUUGGUUUUGUUUAUCCAACCAAGAAAGGCAUGGGGCUUUUGGGCAUGGUAACUAAACACUUAGUUAGCGUUAGAUUUUCUUUUGAUUUCACCAACUCAGGUCUUUUAUUAACAUACGAUAAUAUUUUGCCAACUCACAGGUGUAAGCGCUAUAGUACAGUGUUGACUAGUGUGCUUUGGUGUAACCGGGGAGCUGGAACCAAAGAAAGACUAUACUCGGCGUCCCUUCCUCUUAUCAGGCAGCUAUCUCGAGCUCAUUGAACACUAAAUUUCUUCUUUUUUUUAUAAUCGUCAAAAUUCUCUCAAUUGUGCCCCCACUGCCAUUGGAGCACAAAGGAUGAAAUAUAAUCGAUUCCUCUAUUUAAGUGGUUGUCGCUUCUCCUUGUUCCUAUUACUAACUCCUCCCCGGGUAGUUCCCAAUGUUUGUCACUUUCCAUACUUCAUAGGUGCAACAUCAACAAAUUCGCUCAUGAUCAAGUUACAAGCCAAGAUCUAUGACCAUAUUAUAUUAACUGUUCGUAUUUCGUUCAUUCCAUCGGUAAGGAGGGGAAAGCCACUUGACUGGUUGGAAAGGAGCUCUGACGUUGGAAUUCAAUAGUGACAGAAAUGGUCAUCUUUGCUCUACAGCUACUGGUGUCAUCGCCCUGCAAAGAGGUGGAACCAACCACCUUCACUAUUUCGGAUAGUAUUUAUGGUUCUACCUUUUUCUUAGCAAUUGCCUUUCAUGGUUUUCAUAUGAUUAUAGGUACUAUUUUCUCGAUCAUAUGUGGUAUUCGUCAAUAUCUUGGUCUUCUGACCAAGGAGCAUCACAUUGGCUUUGAAGCAGCUGCAUGGUACUGGGGAUCUUCCUUUCAAAUUUAAGCGUCUAUUCCGCUUUAUCCUUUCAAUAAUUAUAUUGAAUAAAGACAAAUUGAUCCACGGGUAUUUUGAUGCUCGAUCUCGGCAUAGCUUUAUUGAAUCCUAUGGGAAUACGAUAUCCUCCCUCACUAGUAUAGUACAGGUACUCUAUUUGAAUUUGAUUAAUAGGCCCUAUCCCUAGUUCAAGGACUUGGCAAGAUUCCCGACAGACAAAUGGUGGAAGAUUUCAACAACGAUUCUUCCCUUAGCCGAUUAUUACUCUAUCCUUCUCAUUGUCUUAUCGUAAACUCCUAUCUCUCCUGCUUUGAACCCACACUCAAAGGAGGACCACAGGCUCGGGGCUCGACGAAACAAAAAGUUUCAGCAUGUUGAAAAUGGAGUUAGCGUGAAAGAAGGAGCCCGGAAUUUAUUUCUGAAUGAAUAUUCAUAGCUGAGUCUACUAAAAGAGGGACCAGCUGGCCCCCACUAGUCCGGCUAGCUAGUGAGCGAUUCUUUUGGGCGGGAAGCAGGCCGAACCCUAUGGGCGGGCAUCUCCCACAACACAAGCACCAUUGUUCGACACCACCCGAGAAGCUCUUCCUUUUCAGUCCCCACCCUCAAGUGAGAAGGAUAUUCUGUUGCUAUCGACUCUAGUGAUAUUAUUCAUUCAUAUCCCUCAAUCAAGCAAGCGAAGGGGGCUAGGUUGUAAUACAAAAUCGUAACCAUUGAUUUCGGAGGACUUAAUGAUUAUUCGUUUGUCGGAACCAGAAGUUCCAAUUUUGGUAGAUAGGGAUCCCGUAAAAACUUCUUUCGAGGAAUGGGCCAGACCGGGUCAUUUCUCAAGAACGAGCUUUCUUUUAGAAGGCUUGGUUCUGGAAGAUGACCUGAUGGAGGAAGGCCCUCCUAAUAAUAUCCAUAAAUGACUUGUUUUUGGUAAUAGAUGAAAAUUACCGUAUGUAAAUUCGGGUGCAUGAUAGACAUCGGUACUCCAGUGUAUUUCUCCGUCUGAAUCGGAAUAAAUAUGUUUUCGAACCUUCUCUUUAAAAUUCAAAGUGGAUAUUCCUGUGCGAAUCUCAGCAAUUACUUGUUCUGAUUCUACAUAUUGAUCAUUUUGAACUAGUGAAGACGACGUCGAGUUAACGGUAGAGAAAGACUCGGCAUUUAGGAGCAGGAGCAGAAGCACUACGAAGAACAAGAAGUUCGUCAGUUUAAAGAUUCAUUUCUACCAGGUGACGGACUAAUAAGUUUAAGAAUCUGAGAAAAGGUUGUUUUUGAAAUGGCUAUGAGAGAGUACAUAGAGGAGUUUUUUGACCUCCUGUCUCUACGAUGUAGAGUGAAGAAGGGAGAUAAGAGGGCAAUAUUCGAGCUGACUUUUUCUAAGCACGAAUUGCAUUUGUGUUUGAUAGAAAGCAUAGGAAUUUGUCCAUUUUUUGGGGUCUCAAAGGGGCGUGGAAACGCAUAAGAACUCUUGAAUGGAAAAGAGAUGUAACUCCAGUUCGUUCCUUCGAAAUCGGUAGUUAAUCCUAUUUCCGAUAGGGGCAGUUGACAAUUGCAGGAUACAGAGAGAAAGAUAUUGAAUGAGUUUAAAGAGCAUUUAUCUAAGCUAAGCCCAGUUAAUCCUACUAUCUUCAGGAGCUAAGCCUGGCCUCUUAUAAGUCUCAAUUGAGGCAAAAAAAAGACGGAUUCUUAACCCGAUAGGGGAUCUUGCUACAUAGCUUCAUAUCUAAUCAGCUGAUAUACUGAUGCAGGAAAAUUCUUCUAAAGAAGACGUGUUGAGCUUUCUUUCCUUCAGGUUCAUAGGUUCGUAGGAGGAGCCUUAUGUCGUAGGCCCUUCUUGCUAAAAAGUGGAGUUUUGACUGACUCUCUAUGCGAAUUCGUAGGUUUAAUUCCUACUGGAUGCACGCGAAUGGGACCCUCCAAUAAGUCUGGCAGAAAAUGCCGAUUCCAACCCCCAAGAAGCCUUACUGUACUUUUUUAAUGAGAAACGCCAUGAACUUGACCAAGAGGGCGGAACCCGUUAGUAAAAUACCGGAGAGAACUCUGCUUUUCGAAUCAACUUUUACAUGAUCUUCGAAAAAAUGGAAUAAACUUCGUCUAUUUCAAUAUUCCAUUUGGGUAAAUAGAUACGAGAUCUCGUCGUCGAAGUGACGUGAGAAAUUUUUGUUAUAUGUGCCUGAAGCUGCUAUAUUUGCUUUUUUGGCUAUACUUAGACGGACGAGUGGAAUGGAUCGGAUGGGAGAGGAAUGGAAAGCUAGGAUCGCUUGGUAAGCAAGCAGGCACUAACUCCCAGUUUUUUCUCUUCUUUCUUUUUGAUUAGAGAUUUGAGAUUCCGUAAGUAACUCAGUGAGUGCUUUCUAAGAAGGUCUUGGAAGAAGAAAAUGAAAUAGGAACAACCGCGCUGGUCGGAAUUGAUCGACUUUCAUGCUAGUUCUUGCUCCAGCAUGAAAGAUCUAUUUCAGGGAAGGACGACGUACUAUGAUACUUUCCGUUUUGUCGAGCCCUGAUUUGGUCUCUGGUUUGAUGGUUGUACGUGCAAAAAAUCCGAUACAUUCCGUUUUGUUUCUCAUCCCAGUCUUUUGCAACACUUCAGGUUUACUUCUUUUGUUACGUUUUGACUUCUUCGCUAUGAUCUUCCCAGUAGUUUAUAUAGGAGCUAUAGCCAUUUUAUUCCUAUUCGUUGUUAUGAUGUUCCAUAUUCAAAUAGCAGAGAUUCACGAAGAAGUAUUGCGCUAUUUACCAGUGAGUGGCAUUAUUGGACUUAUCUUUUAGUGGGAGAUGUUCUUUAGUUUAGAUAAUGAAAGCAUUCCAUUACUACCAACCCAAAGAAAUACGAUGUCUCUUAGAUAUAUGGUUUAUGCCGGAAAGGUACGAAGUUGGACUAAUUUGGAAACAUUGGGCAAUUUACUUUAUACCUACUAUUUCGUCUGGUUUUUGGUUUCUAGUCUUAUUUUAUUAGUAGCCAUGAUUGGGGCUAUAGUACUGACUAUGCAUAGGACUACUAAGGUGAAAAGACAAGAUGUAUUUCGACGAAAUGCUCUGGAUUCUAGGAGGACUAUAAUGAGGAGGACGACAGACCCGCUCACGACAAUAAGGAGAAGCAGUGGUUCGAAUCCAUAUCGUGAGCUUAAGUAAGCCUUCUGACGCAUCUAUUUGUGUCAAGGGUCCUGGAUAUAUAACUGCUCAAGAUAUCAUCUUGCCUCCUUAUGUAGAAACCGUUGAUAAUACACAACAUAUAGCUAGUUUAACAGAACCUGACAUCGGUAGAAUCUACCUACAAUUCCUUGUAUGUUCGAUAGAGCCAAAGAUUCCCCCCACUGAUCGGAGUACGCCGAUUACCCCCCGAACCGUACAAGAUAGUUACCACCUAUCAUAUGGCUUUCUAACUUCACUUCUUUUUCUGGUCGUUCUGCUCUGUCGAUCGAUUUCAAUCUCAACAAAGAAAUAAAAGCAUAACUCUUUGCUCGCUUGAAGCUCCUCUUAGUCUUUUAUUUUAGCCUGCCUUGUGAAGAUCUCUCGGGUUUUAUUAAUGCUUUUGUGGAAAGUUGAACCCAACGAGCAAAAUAAAAUGGAGUGAGUAGUAUGAAGCUACGUCUUCCUAUUCAGAUAUUGGUCAUUUCCGCCAUCGGAAUAUGCUGUACCGUAAUGCAAGAGAUCCUAUUCUUUGGACCAGAUGAAAAGAAAGUGAACCGAAGUCGACUCGACGCAAGUACGAUAAAAAAGCAGUUCAGUAAUCCGGGAAAGUUUACAUCUAUUUUGUAUUUGUAGCAUUUUGGCGACAUGGCCGAGUGGUAAGGCAGAGCACUGCAAAUCCUUUUUUCCCCAGUUCAAAUCUGGGUAAAACCCGAGUGAUAUCACCCGCAGGUGGUAUGCCUGAGCCGCCACUGCUUUGUCCUUUUCACUUCUUAUUACUCCUUUCGUUCAUUUUUUCUAACAUUUCUAGUACCAACUAAUUCAUUUGGGCGAGAAAUCUUACAGCUUGAUUGCGAAGCAUGGUUUCGAAAGGUCAGCUGAAAGAUAGUAUAUAUCAACAUUCAAACCUAUUCCUUUGUGGCUGGCCUCAGUGCUUAACGUCAGGUUCCCUCCACAUACAUAUGAAAAGUAAGCCAACCGUAUUAGCUCAUCAACUCGCCAUGUAUAAAGACAUGUGCAAUAUAUUGAAUGGGCUUCAGAGACAAGGAUUUCAGAUAAAUUCGAAUAUAUUGGAGUUCAUUAAGAAUCAUCGUGCUACUUUAGAAAAAGUAGUUCUUCUUAUGCCAGGUAUACUGGCACACGUGAAUCUGAAAGAAUCCUACGAUCUUCUGAGGAAAUCUUAUUUCCUGAAUAAGGAUAUAAAGAACGUUUGUAGCCUUAGUGAUCUCUUUAAGGAAUUAGCAAAUAGGGUGCAGACAGCUAGGUAUGAAGAUUUCAUAAUCAGGCUAACGUCCGCAUACGAGGGUUAUGUCUUUUAUCUGCCUGCCUUUAUGGACUUUCGUGGAAGAAUCUACCGCUGUGGUAUCUUUCAUUUUCAUAAGCGUGAUUUAGCAAGAAGUUUCAUUCUAUUUUCCAACAAUACUCAAGAAGGAAUCAACCAGUCAGCUAAGGACAUAGUAGCCACAUCAGCUGCCUUUAAGUAUAAGAAAUUCGAUCUUUAUCGUAUGAUAAUUCAAACUUUUAGAACUCUUAGACAUAUGGAAGACCUAUACUAUUGAUUUCCCGAUACCGAGACUCUACUCUAGAAAUCCAUAGUCUCUAGAUAGCCCUAGCCAAGGUUCCAAUUCUGAUAGACUAGCCUUGCCUUCCCCACAGAGGAGAUAGACUGGUCUAUAAAAGCUUCUGGAAUUAGAAGAAGGAAUGUUGGAGCUAUUCCCUUAGUGACAUUAGCAUCUUUCUUUCGAACAUUCGGACAUUAUAGGCUCUCCUCCAACAAAGGACUGGGAAAGAAAAACUCACAUUCCCGAAUAAGCAGAAAGUCUAGGAAGAUAUCAACCAUGGAUGGAAGGUCUCCUGUAAGCCAGAAGGUCCUACUAAGUGGUCUAAGUCGAACCUCUUCCUUGAAUGGUUAAGGAAAGCUUUUCAUAUAAUGCCUUUGUUCGUACCUGCCCUUCUUCUCUUUGCCCCCAUCCACCAUCCCUUAGCCUUAAAAACAACCAAACCACCGGUCAAUCGACCGACAGUGAACCAAAUCCGCGUUUUCAAACAAUGAAUCUAAUUCAAACUCUCUCAGGAAGCUCGUGGUUCUGGAGCCGACUGCCCGAACCAUCCAUACAAACCAUCUCCCGGCUAGAAAUGAGACCUGGUGGAGCAGCUUAGCCAGCCAUCUCGUUCCCCUCUUCCCCGCAUCUAAACCAUCCUUUAUUUUAUCUCAAUCUCUCGCGAGGGUACGUUUUCCAUCACGACUGACUGACCUGACGGUAGGAAUUGAUUGAGAUNNNNNNNNNNNNNNNNNNNNGAGGGGAAAACCUAGAAAAGAAAAGACCCAGAAUCACGUCUAACAAUCUAUUGGGGGGAAAUCAAUAAUGAAGCAGCAGGCAGAGUCGUUUGAUGACACGAGGUUCCUAUAUACCAUCAUCUCGAAUCCAAAGGCAUAACAAUAGGUAGGCAUCUUCUCGAUGAUCUAUAAAAAUAUCUAAAGGUGAACCAAUAGACAGAGAGAGAUGCUCUUCCUGCGGCCCAAGAUGAUUCUUGAUAGCAGGAGAAAUAGAGUCUUUUUUUGGCGAGUGUAGGGGAGCCGAAGGAGAUUCCAACCCACAUUACUGACUAACGGUGGAUAAUCAUAUUUCUUAGAGGUACUAAAUACAACUCCAUGAAUGAGCAAAAUGAAGGUUGCAUUAAUGAUAAGGAUCUCUGGGGAAACCGUCGUUCCUGUUCCUUAUGGUGCUUUUUCAACCCUUUGCUUCGCAACCGUCAUCUUUUAGCUGAUUAAUGAGUGUCAAAGAUAGACGUGUCAUGCCGCAUGAAGAAAGCUAUCAAGCAUUGAAUGAAGGGAGGGAGGCUCGGGAAAGGUUGUCGGAGUAGUGAUCGGGAUGAGAUAGAUGCCUCCCAGCCGGGGGGCGGAUCAAAUUGGAGUUUUCUUAGGUAGACACCGACCUAUAGUUAUCCUUAAACCUCCAUGCCAUUUCGUCGUUGCUCAUUCCCGUUAGGCUAAAAUGUUUGGCCUUUCCUUCUCCGCGCCCGCUCAGGCUUCGCUGACCUAUCGCAUGGGGCACCUAAGGUUUGAGGGGAAU
This 53840-nucleotide long non-coding RNA is filed under the name Capsicum annuum. Its description in RNAcentral is "long non-coding RNA (CANN_LNC018747)". The stretch from base 51409 to 51480 matches the Rfam family "tRNA". The record is from RNAcentral. Lineage: Eukaryota; Viridiplantae; Streptophyta; Magnoliopsida; Solanales; Solanaceae.